UGAAAGAGAAUUAUUAGUUGAAGAAAACCCAAGAAAGGGUGGUCUUAGAACCAUGCCUUUUAUCAUUGGUAAUACUCUUUUUUUUUCUUUUUUUUUUUUUAACAUUGUUUAAGUACUACUAAUUAUUUCAUUUUUUUUUCAGUGAAUGAAUCAUUUGAAAGGGUAGCAAGUUUUGGUUUACAAACAAAUUUGAUAAUCUACUUGAUGACAUAUUAUAACAUGAGUGCUGCUACUGGAACUAGUAUUCUUGGACUAUGGGGUGCACUUUCAAAUGGAUUGGCUCUUUUUGGGGCAAUUACUGCUGAUUUUUACUUGGGUCGGUAUAGGGCUGUUGCCUAUGGAUCCAUCUCCACUCUUAUUGUGAGUGUUUUGAUGACAAUCUGUUAUCUCACUAGUGCAAAUGUUUUUUCUUAUUUAUUUAUAGAAAAUGGUGAUGUUCAGACUAAAUUGGGUUAAGUUUUAACAUUUUUCUUGGACAGGGAAUGAUUAUUCUAUGGCUCACAGCGAUGAUUCCACAACUCAAGUCUUCACCGUGCUCUCAGAUCCAACAUGUUUGUAAUGGAGUAACAGCACUCCAACUUGCUGUUCUGUUUUCAUCUUUUGUGUUUAUGUCAAUUGGAGCUGGUUUUGUUAGACCUUGUUCCAUAAUAUUUGGUGCUGAUCAAUUGGAAAAUAAAAAGAACCCCGAGAACGAGAGGAUUCUUGAAAGCUAUUUCAAUUGGUACUAUGCUAGCUCAGGGAUUUCAACCAUUCUUGCAGUUACCCUUAUUGUUUAUAUUCAAGAUAGUUAUGGUUGGAAAGUUGGCUUUGGUGUCCCUGCUAUCCUAAUGUUUUUGUCUGUCUUGAUGUUCCAAAUCGGUUCUCCUCUUUAUAUCAAAGUGAAAGCUAAAACUACGGAAAACUUGGUCAUAGGAUUGUUUCAAGCAGCUGUAGCAGCUUUUAGGAAAAGAAAUACCCGUCGUCCAUUGAGUGAUUGUGAUGAAUUCUAUCGUUGGCCACUGGAAUCAGAUGUCUUGCCUCCAUCAAAGGACUUCAGGUCAGUGUGUCCAUCUUUUCUUCUUUUUUCAGUGCUAUAUGAUAUUGCAGUUCAUUGUAAUGAAAGUUUUAUUGUAUGUUAUAGGUGUUUAAAUAGAGCUUGUAUGAUUGAAGAUCCUGAAAGAGAUUUGAAUCCUGAUGGAUCAGCUUCAAAUCCAUGGAAUCUUUGUAGUGUGGAACAAGUUGAAUCACUGAAGGCUCUUAUUAGAGCACUUCCUAUGUGGUCCACCUGUUUCAUGAUCUUUGUGGAUAUAAAUGUCUUUUCAUUUUCCUUGCUUCAAACCAAGACAAUGGAUAGACACAUCUUUCCUCACUUUGAAGUACCAGCAGCAUCAUUCAGUGUGUUUAUGAUUAUUGCUUUAACAAUCUGGAUUGCUUUCUACGACCGUGUUUUGGUCCCUUUGCUAUCAAAAUAUACAGGACAACCAAGAGGGUUAAGUCCUGUCACCCGAAUGGGGAUUGGCUUAAUAUCCUCUGCUAUGUCUAUUGCAUUGUCAGCAAUAACAGAAAGCAUAAGACGACAAAGGGCAAUAGAAGAAGGGCUUGAGGAUGACCCAAAUGCUUUAGUGAACAUGUCUGCUAUGUGGUUCGUGCCACAAUAUGCACUACUCGGAGUUGCUGCGGCUACCCAUGGAGUUGGACAGGUUGAGUUUUUCUAUGCUUUAUUUCCCAAAAGCAUGUCCAGCAUCGCGUCAUCUAUGUACACUGUUGGGACUGCUGUGUCGAGUUUGAUUGGAAGUAUUCUGGUGAGUGGUGUGGAUUGGCUUUCAUCAACCGGUGGUAAAACAAGCUGGCUUUCGAGCAACAUUAAUAAGGGUCACAUUGAUUACUAUUUCUGGUUUCUUUCUGUCUUGGGUUUUCUCAACUUCUUAUAUUUUUUGGUCGUCUGCCGAUUUUAUGAAUCUCUCAAUGAUGGGAGCAGUAGGUUAUCUCAUGUGGCUGAAGAGAAAGAAGGUGAUUAUACACUCUUACAUGAAUCUUGAUGUUAUGUUGUACUGCAUUCUUGAAUGAUGCAAUUAUUACUAAUUAUAUAAACAAUAUGGGCACAAUUCUAUUCUUUUCUUGAUUCCUAAGUAUUUGAUUGUCAAGAAGAGUCUCAUACCUCAAUUUCUUUAUGAAUAUUUCAAGAGUUUAUGGGAUAUUCAAGAUGCCUCUAUAUUAGAGUCUGGAGCCAAAAUGACAACUUGUUUGCUCCAAAAUGCAUAAUGGGCCACCCAAUUUUUUUAAAAAAAACAAAAUAGAAAAUUCGCUUACGAGUGAGCGGGAUCCUUUAUGAUUUUAAUAGCCAUUAAAAACGUCCAAUGAGAAAUGUUAAACAUUUUUUUUAACAAAAUAACUGCUAGAGCAGCGAGUUCCAUAAAAAAAAACCCAUAAAAUUGCUGCAGCGGCGAGUUUAUUUAAUGUAUUUUACUUUUUUUAAAAAAAACACAUACUCAUAGCAGCUUUUUUCAAAACUUAAUUUUAAAGAGUAAUGCUAAAUGACCAGAAAAUUAAAAAGUUUAUAAUAUUUUUUUUAUUUUAAAAUAAAUUGUUCUUUUUUCCACUUUUUAAUUAAAAUGUAUUAAAAUUAAAAGGGUAAAAAUAUUCAAAAAGAUAAAAUAAAAUAAUGUGAAAUAUAUUAUUUUACCAUUCUAGCUAAAUUUUCUGGCCAAAAGAAUUUUGUCAAUUUUAAAACUAAUAACCUAUAGACAAUUUUGUUUUUUCCUAUAUUGAUUGAAAUAUAAAAAUGGAAGUACAUUGGAAUCAUAAUACUAAUUAAUAAUAUGUAAUGGAAGUACAUUGGAAUCAUAAUACUGUUUCUGUGCCUAAUUACUUGUUCAUUUUUUUUUUAGUUUUCUUUAAUUACUUGUCCAUUUUUCCUUUUUUAGUUGUACUUAAUUACUUGUCCAUUUUUUUAAACUAUUAUACCCUUAAUUAAUUACAUUGAAAAAGAUAAGACUUCUUGAAAACUUUAAGUUUUUAAGUCAUCCAUUUCAUAAUUAAUAAGGGUAAAAUGAUAAAGUCACUAUGUCAAUAAUUAUUUUCUUAAUGUGUGUCAAUUCAAAAGUAGACAAAUAAUUCGGGACAUGGGAGUACUAAUUAAUACUCAUUUGCUACCAACUCUUAAUAAAUCCAAGUGGGAAUUAAUAAUUCCAAAUUUACAAUUAAUUAAAUUGAUCUAUUUUAAUUUGAAUUUUAAAGUUAAUCAAUUUAAUUCUUGAAAUGCAAACCUGAUCACUUUAUGUGAUAAUUCUUUUUGGAUCCUUAUAAUUGUUUAAAGUUGUGUUUAAUGUAGUUGCAAAGGCAUUUGCUAUUGCCACUGCUCUUGUCUUUGAUGGUUCAGCCUUACAAUUGGCUUGAUAUGGGCCCUUUAUGCAUUUUGGAAGAAAAAAAUGCUUUUUGACUUUGAAAAUUCAAAUAUAUUAUUUCUUAUUUAGACAUGAACUAUAUAUAGUUUAGAGUAGUAGUUUCCAAGAAUCUCAAAUAAGUUGCACUCGUCUUAGCUUGUGUAGUCCCACAAAAUUUUGAUGUCUAUAGAUAUACAGUUCACCAAUUUACAACUACCGUCGUCACUCACCAUUAUUAACUAUCACCAUCUACAUUCAUCAUCAUAACAGCUCCCAAUCGCUAAUAAUAAUUGUCAUUAUUAUAUAUCGCCACAAAUCGUAAAUAUUCUCUACCUUCAUUAGCUAUUAUAUUAACCACAUUUACAAUUAUUAGCAUAACAACUUUCAAUCACUAAUGAUAAUAAUAAUUAUUAUUAGUCAUGGUAAAAAAAAUUAUAAUUAUUCUUCACCAAUUACUUCUCCACUCUUACUAUGAGUUAUGCCAUUUUCACAAUUUCAACACUAUGUGGUAGGUGGGGGCUACUCUGUGGCUGGCUAGAAAUAAAAAAAUGACACGAGCUAAAUGAGUUAUUUCCUUGUGGAUGGGUGACUACAAUUAUUAACUUUCAAGUAGUAUAAUAUUUUGCUAUAAAUUUUAGUAUGAUAACAAGUUAUACAUCAUAUUUGAUAUGUUAUUUUUCUACAUAGUAAAUUAUGAUUAUUUCCAUUCUAAUAUAUUGUUUACGUGACUAUAAAUCAUUUCAUUAAAGAUAAAAUUAAUAUUUUAAAGUUAAAUUGUUACGAAAUAUAGAAGACAUAAUAAAUAAAUAUGAAAUUUAACUUGACUUCAGUUGACAUACAUGUCCUCCAACUCUGAGUGUGCACAACUAAACAUUUAAACUUAUAUAAAAUUGAAUAAAUAAACAAUUCAUCCUACGUUGCAUCCUACGUGGCUAUUGUAUGUCAUAUGUAAUGUCCUACGUGUACUAAACUGUUCUUUUAAAAUAUAUAUAGGAAAAUUCAAUAUUAUUUAUCCAUUUUAAAAUGAACGAAAAAUUAAGUCAGCAAGAUGUUUAUGAUUUGGUCUUAAAUUGAAAUCUCUAUUCGUCAUAAUAAAUCUCGAUCUGGAAUCAACUUCAACUGCUACACUUAGACAUGUGGAUUCCUUUCAUCUAUAAGAUGAUCACACCUAACACCGAUUUUAUAUUAGUCUGUUAAAAAAAAAUGUCAUUUUUUUUAUAUCUCUUUAAUUUUAUUUUUUCAUGAUAACAUAUUUAAAAUUAUAAAAUUAAAAAAAAAUAAUUUACUUUGAUGUGUUGGGUAUAUAGUAAGAAUAAAUGAAAAAUGGAGGAAAGAUGAAAGGACGGAUGAUGAAGUGUUCUCUUAUGCUUUAAUAAAAAAAAAUUCUUACUCAUUGGUGGAGGGAAAAAAGUUUUGUGUUUAAACAACGAAAUACUUUUAUUAGUCAUUAAAUGGGUUGGAAAGAGGGACUCCUUAUGUCAUCGCUUGCAAGAUUUUUGCUUUGGAAAAUGAUUGAGAGAUUAUUUUUUUGAUAAAGUUUUCUUUAAUUAUUAAUUUAAUUAAUUAUUAAUUUAUUAAUGAAUGGCAAAUAUCUUUUCCAUUUUAUUUUAAUUUCUCACCAUUUUCUAAUGAUUGUUCUGAAAGGUUGCAAACUUACAAGAACAACCAUGUCUUAGUGACUAUUCUGGAAGGUUGCAAAUUUUCAGAAACAGUUUUCUUCGCUUUAAAUACUUGUGAUUCCUCAGACUUUUCACUAUGAAUUUUUUUGAACUUCUUCUUCUUUUGCAUAAUUAAAUUUAGUAUUCUAGAGUACUUUGCUCUCGUUGAGUGGCUCGCUGACACCAUUGUUUUUGUACCAAUACACUGGUGAGUAGAAUCUUUUUAUCCUGAGAGGAUAUAUUCGUUUAAACCUUGGUAGUGGAGGAGAAUAAUUUCCUUAAUGACACAUUUUACAUUCAGUGUGCUCGAUAUUAUUUCUUUCUGUUUCAUCUUACUGUUACAGAUUCUGAUAUGUCUUUACAAUCAUUAAUUUAUGUUUUUGAUUAUAUGCUUUAAAUUUAUUCUUAUGCAAAGUUAUUGUUCUAAGUAUUUAUUAGUACAUAUUAGAUAAAAUGAUGUACACUCAAAAAUUAAACCAGAAGUAUAUAUAGGCCAUUCAGCUUACUAAAUACAACAUCGAAUUUAAGGCAAGGAACAGUCCCAUCUCAAUGAUUAUGUAUUUAACAUGUCAAAUUCAAAUCGUAACUUUUUUACAUAUCAACGAUUGGUAGAGACUUCUAAUUUUUUUCUUUUUAAAUGAGUGGGAUCUUGUUGGGGGCCAUUACUAAUGAUUCUUACUUGGGUCGGUAUAGGGUUGUUGCCUAUGGAUCCAUGUCCACUUUUAUUGGCAGUUGUGCCAUCUUCAACGUGUUUCUUGUUUUCCUUUUACUCGUUUGUUCUUAAUUACUUGUUCAUUUUUUUUUAUUCGUCUCUUUUUACUUGUUCAUUUUGAUAAAUCAAGAAAUGACAUUUUUUUUACUAUUAUACCUUCAAUUAAUUAGGCUCUUAUUCUAUUUAUUCUAUUGGAUCUAUAUGUCGGAUAGGUAAUCGACACAGAAGUCUCAUUGUUCGUGGUAUUGCAAUAAAUUCAUUAUAUGAUAAUUGAAAAAGGUAAAAUUUCUUAAAAAAUCUUAAAAUUUUAAUUCAUGCAUAUCAUAAUUAAUAGGAUAAAACAGUAAACUCAUUACUUGUAGACUGGAUGCCAACAAACAAUAUCAAAUAUUAUAGCAUACUAAAUUUAUAUAAAAAUACCUAGUUUUACGGGUUUGUGUGCCCUAUAAAUGAAUUCAUGUCAUAGAAUUAAAAAUUAUAUUCCUCACUAGCAUAUGACUGUGCCAAUUCUGUUCUGCUAAUAAUCCCGUCAUACCAUUUGGAGGAGACCUUGCAAAUUGAUUUUGUUUUUUCACUAUACUUAAAAGAAGCUUUACCUUUACUUUUUCCGUUUCAAAAUAAAUGAUAUUUUUUAAUUUUUCUAUUUUAUUUCAAAGGUGUUUCAAAAAGACAUAAACACUGGUUGAAUAGAGCUUGCAUGAAUGAAGAUCCUCAAAGAGAUAUAAAUCCCGAUGAAAUUACUUUAACAAAAUGUUAAUAUUAUUAAGAUAUUUAUUCAAACGAUAUUACAAAGAUGUCAAUUCAUCAAUUUCAUCCAAUCACAACUAUCAUCACUUACCAUUACCAACUAUUAUUAUUAUUAUUAUUAUUAUUAUUAUUAUUAUUAUUAUUAUUAUUAUGUCAUAUCAACCAUUACCGCCCACGACCCAAAUUAUCAUUCCACCACUACCAUUAUUAAGCAAUUAGAACCGACUAAACAAAAUUAGGGUCUAAAACAAAACUUUGAGAGAGGCCCUAAAAUUGGGAGACAUUUCAUCCAUGUAUGUCAAGUCAAUUGGGAUUUACUAAUAAAUAAAGAUAUACUUAUUUAUAUUUGUUGAGUGCACCCGCCAACAACGUAUAUAUUCAGCGGAAUCAACUCAACAUCAAACUAAUGAGAGAAGUAUUGGAAAUACCUCUCAACUUGAUGAAAAUUAUUAGUUUAGUCUUUAAAUUAUUGACAACUUUAAAAACACUCCUCUACUUGACUAACUAAACUUAGAUACACUCCGAUCUGCCACAUGAAAUGACAAGUGGUCUCAAUCUUUUGUAGGAGUAUGGGUCUCUUAAUAAAAAGUCGAGAGAAGUGUUGAAAAACCCUCCAACACUUCUAAACUUGACGAGAAUUUAGAGACGUAGUUCACUCUGUUGCAGAGGUGAAGAGGAAAAACGUAACAGAGAGACAUAGUGAAAAUGGGGACAGAAUUUUUUUUAUUAAGAAAAUAUUAUUGGACUGGUUUUAAGAGUCACCAAUUAAUUUUUAAGAAAAAUCAAGAAAACUAUUGUUUUCAAAAGACUAAAACAGCAAUCUAGUGAAAACUUAAAAAAGGGUUCGAGGUUCUUAUUAACAUUCUAGGAAGGUUUUAAAAGCACCUAGAAUAUCCACUAAUGUGGUUAUCCGACAAUUAAUUAUUUGGCUAAAUUCAUUUGACUUAAUUUGAAUUGAACAACCUUUAUAGUUAGAACCGUCUUAAAAGGGAAAAGGGAGAAUACGGGAAUACUAUCUAAGUGAGAUAAUUUGCAACAUUUAUUCUUUAAGUUUUGUUAAACGAUGACUGAUUUAGUUAAGUUGUUAAAUCAAAAUGGGCGUCUUUUGGGGAUUUGAAUUUUUCGCCCUUAAGAUUAGCGGCAAAUAUCAACAAGCACACAAACACAAUAAAAUAGAAAGGGAAAGAGAUUCGGGCCCAAGUUUGGUUUUCUGUCCGCCUGGACCAACACUUGGGCCUAAUUUCAUUCUGGGCCAAAAGGCCCAAUUCUUGCCACCUGUCCUAAAUUCUAACAAUAUAAUAGCAAAUAAAUGGGCUUAGGCCCAAAAGAAACAAAAUACAAUUUUGAAAUAAAGAGUGGGCCUUUGGCCCAAUCUUUUCAACUUCUCGAUCUAUUGCUUCUUUCAACUUCGGGACCUGUUCGUCGAUUUUCAAUGAUCGAUUGACUCGAAAGGAGGGAUUUAAGCCUUUUACGGCUCUCUCGAAAUGCAAAGGGAAGAUGGGGUUCAUAAAGAGCUCAGGCAGAUUUCACAUGCAAUAAAAUAGUAAGAAGUUAGCAUACAAAGCAAACAGAACAGAUGAGAUAUAAUUUAAAUAAAAUGGAAUUCGAUCAAAAUGGAAGCCACUUAAGCAAUUCAAAAUGGACCGAAGCAUACGACUCUAAAGAAGGCCAAAUGAACCAAAUUGACAAUGAUAAAACUAAUAAACAAAUGGACACCAAACAUGAGCACAUAUAUGUGAAUAUAUGUAUACACUUGUGAUCAUAUUAUAUUACAGGGAAUAUAAAACCAACAAUAAACAGUAGCUUAACACAUGGAGGGGGCACAUGCUGUGUAAUUGGCAAAUAAAAUAUUUCCUGCCAUGGUCAAACAUACUAUGGCCAAACGAUUCUAUUUAACGAGAUCUCAGGAUGUUAAUACUAUGUCAAGAGCCAAAAUGCUAGAAACAGCUACAAACCAAUUUUAUUUUUAGGCAAAACACGACGGCAUGACCAUAUAUCGAAUGACUAAAGGUGGGACCAAAUCAAUAUUCCACCAAGGAAACCGACACAACCUAAACAAAGAGCAUAACUAAAUAGACAUACUACGACAGAUGAACCGUAAGCAACGAAUCAAGAAUUAAAAUCCAAAACACCGUUUUGAUUACCAACUUCAUUCUUAUCAUAUAUCGUGCGAUUUUCAACUCAACACCUAGGCCAAAUGAAUUUUAAACAGUCUUAAUCUUAGCUCAAUUCAAAGUACGAGACAGAAUAAAAAGAAGACGUCACAUUUUUAUAAGCUAUACCGCAAAUAAGGAGCAAUCCGACUAAUGUUUCGACAAAGGAGAUGACAAAUCAAUUCUAAACCCGACAUGUUGAACAAUAAGACGAACACGAGAUUAAAUAAAAAUAGAGAAAAGGUCAGUCAUUUGCACUCCAACAGAGCAGUAGACAAUACAACAUACGGUUUCAUAUCAUCUAAAUUUUCUAAGAUCCUGCCUUUAUUUCGAAAAGGAAAGAGAUAAUAUUAUAACAACAGAGUGGAAGAAACCUAAUAUUUGGGCAAUGGAAGACAAGAAGACAUAGAUUCAAACAUUAAAACAAAACAAAGAGAAGCAGACAGUGAAAUAAACUCAAAACAAAGAAACACCACCUACGAAAUGACAAAAGAAGAUUUUGAAUCAAUGCUUAAGAGUAAAUACCAGAAUCAUUUAGAGAAUAAUAUAGCAUAUCAAAUCGUCUAGGGCUUAAUUACAAGUAAUAGCAAACAACAUAUAGCCAGUAGCAUCACACUGGAAAUAAAAUAAACGAGGAAGGUAUCACGAAGGAGAGAGUUUUACCUUAUUCCGUGCAGCAAACAGGGAUGAAAACGAGCAAGGAACACCACGACUUCACCACACGCGUUCUGACUCAAGAAAUAAUCGAGAAAUCUGAACUGAAUGCUAGACCCGAGCACUAGAACUGGCCGUCUUUCUCUGUUUUCUUAAAAAAGAUUUAGCCCCCAUUUUACUGAAGUUAUUCUCCAUUUUUUGCAUUAAAAAAAUCCCCAUUUCGGCAGCAAAGACAACAGAAUAUAUAUAGAAGAAGAACUAGGGCAGAUUUUUGGGGGAAGAGGGACGAAAAUUCGGGUUCAAGACCCAAUAAUUCAAACUUCAAAUUCCUUUCACCACUUAAGGCAAACAUACUUUUUCUUGCAAUUUCGCCCAAUUCCGAAAGAGAAAAGGGCGAAUCGACUCUAAUGUCCUUGAAAUGCCACGUGGAGCGAUCUCACGUUGGCAAGGACGAAAACGCGUGCUUGAUGGAUGGAAGCCUGGAACAGUACUGGGUUAUUUCGCGUAGAGAAAGGAGAAGAGAAAGACGCGGGGUCGUUGGGGUUGUAUGUUGCACGUAUGGUAUGUAUUGUUGGUGUACAGCUGGUGGGUCUUUUUUUUUUUGAAUUGCUGCUAUACGUAAUGUUGGUAUUGUUAUUGUAUUGAAUUGGAAAUAUAAGUUGGCCAGGGGUAAUUGGUUUUGUUGUAUGUGCGUAAUGUUGGGUUAUGUAUUGCAUGGUAUUGUGGGAAAAGAAAGUGAGUUGGGCUUGUUUUAUUUGCAAAUCGAUGGGCUGGGAAUUGUAAGUAAGAGUUGGGUGGGUUGGGAAUGGAAUUGGGCCGAAAAUUAUUGAGAGAAUAGCCCAAAACUUGGUCUCAAAUGGGUUUAAGGUGGGUAAGGAAAUAUAAUUAGAACCAAUUGAAGUUAAAAACUUAGCCGAUUUGAAUUUAAUUGAUGAAUUCGGCCAAAAUUUAAAUAAGAUGAAUUAGUACAAAUUAAUUAAUGAGCUUCUUAAUUUUAACAAAAUAAAACAAUCAACUUAAUUAUAAACUAAAUUAUUUAAAAAUAUAAACUACUAAACUAAUUAACCAAAUAUUUGAGUACAACUAAAAUCUUUUUGAGGCGAAUUUUGAAUAUUCAAAAAAAAAAUGUACUAGUUAUAUGAAACACAUAUAUCAUUCAAAAAUUAUAAAAAAAAUGACAACUAUUUAAAAUAACUUGCAAACUAUUUUUGAAAUUUUAUAAAACUAAUUAUUUUAAAUCCUUUAAAAAUUUAAAAAGCUCGAUGAUUAAUCUAUAUUGUGGAGGUCCAAAAUUGGGUGUCAACAACUGUCCCUCAUUUGACUUGGAUUGAUGAAAGAAAUCCGAGGCAAAUGAAUUGACAAAUCCAAUUUUGACCGACCACAUCUUCAUCUUUCAGAAAAGAGCUUUUGGUACGGAUUUUAAGAAUUAUGGUCGAACCCCGGAAAUGGGUUUCUUACAUGUCUUAGGCUAUAUGAGAAUUCAGGCCACUUGUAGUUCGAUACGCUUAAUUUGACGCACGACUUUGAAAGAAUUCAAAAGUCAUCCCGAUACCGAAUUAUGAAGGGACCAGAAUGCUCGAGAAUAAGAUUUAAGAGUGAAUGUUGGAAUGCAACCGAGUUUCAACAUUGAUUCUGCCUACAUGUCCGUCAACUCAAGGAAUCAGGCUGCUUGUAGUUCGACUCAAUCAGUUGAAAAGGGAAUCUAUUAUGCUAGAUCACCUUUGGUUCUGGAAAAGCGACAAAGUAAGUUGAGUAUGAAAAUGAGGCUUGUAACCUCUUAGCCAUGAAUGUGGCGCGCUUCACAUCCAUAACCAAGUGUGGUAUCUCAAGUUUUGAAGUUAGGUAAGUGACAAAAUAAAAGUUGGCAACAGUUACUGUAAAUUCCUUUUUAAAGAUUUGUCUGAAAUUUGAGUCAAAUGUCUCGGACGUUUUCUCCCAAUCUAUUAAGAGUUAUGGUCCCCGCGAUCUAUAAAAUCGAAGGUCUACGAGUCUAGUUUUCAAUGCAUCAAAACAUUCGUUCAUACGACUUCAGAAUAGAGAGAUAUUAGCAUUUUCAUGGGACUGCGUAAGCAGGCACGUGAGGUGGGGCCCUAAGUCGGUGGAAUGUUACAUAUAUCUUCUCAUUCGACCUUUUUCUCCAUUAUAAGCUAAAAAACUAGAGAAAUUAGAAAAACCCAUUUCUAGGAUCAAGUGAAAUAUAGAUUUUCUCGNNNNNNNNNNNNNNNNNNNNNNNNNNNNNNNNNNNNNNNNNNNNNNNNNNNNNNNNNNNNNNNNNNNNNNNNNNNNNNNNNNNNNNNNNNNNNNNNNNNNNNNNNNNNNNNNNNNNNNNNNNNNNNNNNNNNNNNNNNNNNNNNNNNNNNNNNNNNNNNNNNNNNNNNNNNNNNNNNNNNNNNNNNNNNNNNNNNNNNNNNNNNNNNNNNNNNNNNNNNNNNNNNNNNNNNNNNNNNNNNNNNNNNNNNNNNNNNNNNNNNNNNNNNNNNNNNAUUUAGCAAAAAAGGUAUGUUAAGGCUAUUCCCUACUCACAACAUGUUCCCUUAAAGCUUAGAAGCAAUGUAUUUGGGUUGUUAUCCUUGAUAUACUUGUAGCUGUGAUUGUUGAUUGUUGGCUGCUCGAGUUGAUAUAAUCCUCCCUUGUCGAGAUUCUUAUUCAGUUAGUAGCGUCCCUAUGUUGGACACGACUUAGAGGUUAUUUGUAUAGGUUACUUAUAACUAAAUUUCUCGCUUUUAGCGGUUGGAUUGUUAUUAUUGUCGUUGGGGUUAUUGUGGUUAGCUGCAGGAAUGUGAUAUAUGCCUAGAAGGGCUAUGUUCUGCCUACAGGGCUAUAUGGAUGCCUAACAGGGCUAUGAGUUGCCUACGGGGCUAUAUUGUGCCUAGAAGGGCUAUGAGUUGCCUACAGGGCUAUAUUGACGCCUAAGAAGGCUAUGUGCUUUCUACAGGGCCAUGUUAUUGACUAAGAGGGCUAUGAGUUAUCUAAAAGCUACGUUGACGCCUAAGAGAGCUAUGUGCUAUCUACGGGGCUAUAUUAAUGCCUAAGAGGGCUAUGUGACUGCCUACGGGGCUAGGGGACUACUGAUAGGGGUAUAUAGGCUGAUUGGCACCUUCCGGGCUUAUGGGGGCCUGAGUAGAUGGUCUUGUGUGCUGUUUGUACCUGCCGAGCUUAUGGGGGCAUGGUUAGGUUGUUGUUUUAUUAUUUUUGAUAAGUUUAGAUUUAGGAGCAGGUCAGUACACAUAUCUUAUUCUUGAUUUAUUUAUUGGAUUAUUCCAGUAUAUCAUGAUACCUCAUCAUAGUCUAUUGCCUUUCAUACUCUGUACAUUACUUUGUACUGACGCCCCAUGGCCUUGGGGGUGCUGCAUUCAUGCAUGCAAGUCCUGAUAGACGACUAAGUAGACCUCCUCAGCAGUAGGAUUGACUUUUAUCCAGUUGGCUANNNNNNNNNNNNNNNNNNNNNNNNNNNNNNNNNNNNNNNNNNNNNNNNNNNNNNNNNNNNNNNNNNNNNNNNNNNNNNNNNNNNNNNNNNNNNNNNNNNNNNNNNNNNNNNNNNNNNNNNNNNNNNNNNNNNNNNNNNNNNNNNNNNNNNNNNNNNNNNNNNNNNNNNNNNNNNNNNNNNNNNNNNNNNNNNNNNNNNNNNNNNNNNNNNNNNNNNNNNNNNNNNNNNNNNNNNNNNNNNNNNNNNNNNNNNNNNNNNNNNNNNNNNNNNNNNNNNNNNNNNNNNNNNNNNNNNNNNNNNNNNNNNNNNNNNNNNNNNNNNNNNNNNNNNNNNNNNNNNNNNNNNNNNNNNNNNNNNNNNNNNNNNNNNNNNNNNNNNNNNNNNNNNNNNNNNNNNNNNNNNNNNNNNNNNNNNNNNNNNNNNNNNNNNNNNNNNNNNNNNNNNNNNNNNNNNNNNNNNNNNNNNNNNNNNNNNNNNNNNNNNNNNNNNNNNNNNNNNNNNNNNNNNNNNNNNNNNNNNNNNNNNNNNNNNNNNNNNNNNNNNNNNNNNNNNNNNNNNNNNNNNNNNNNNNNNNNNNNNNNNNNNNNNNNNNNNNNNNNNNNNNNNNNNNNNNNNNNNNNNNNNNNNNNNNNNNNNNNNNNNNNNNNNNNNNNCUGACACUAGACAGACCACAACUAGCCAAGGGCUAGAUACAACUGCAAGCGAGGGUACCAGUAAAGUACCACAGGUGCAGGUGGCCCAUUGUGAGACCCAGGGGGAGACAUCUUCUUAGCCCCCUAUAGCUUCUCCACAGCUUCAAGAGCCUCCGAGGGCUACAGGACUUCCGGCUCCACCAGCAGUACCACCUCUAGUAACUGUUCCUGAUCAGAUGGAAUAGGAGGAACUAGAGGUGGUACUGCCGAUCUAAUAAAGUAACUGGAGUUUUCUCGUAGGACAACUCCUCUGUGAUUUGAACAUCCUCAACUGGGACAACCCAAGAAGGGUCUCCUACACACUUUCGUAGCAUCGAUACAUGGAAAACUGGAUGAACAGAUUUUAGCCCGAAGGCAAUUCUAACUCAUAAGCCACUCGUCCUAACCCUUCGAAGGAUCCAGUAUGGCCCAAUAAAUCUUGUACUAAGCUUUCCCUUUUUGCCAAAUCGCAUAACACCUUUCAUAAGCGAGAUUUUUAAGAAUACCCAAUCAUCGAUGCAAAACUCUAAGUCUUUUCGUCGCACAUCUGAGUAUGACUUCUGUCGGCUUUGAGCUGUUAGCAGCCUCUCCCGAAUGAGCUUAACUUUAUCCACUGUCUGCUGAACUAAGUCGGGUCCAAUCAACCCUGACUCACCUACCUCGAACCAUCCAAUGGGGGAUCUAUAUUUUCUCCCAUACAAAGCCUCAUAAGGUGUCAUCCCGAUGCUGGAAUGAUAACUAUUAUUCUAUGCGAACUCUAUAAUAGGUAAGUGGUCAUCCCAACUCCCCUUGAAGUCUAGCGCGCACGCCCGUAACAUAUCUUCGAGUGUCAAAAUUGUGCGCUCAGCCUGGCCAUCUGUCUGAGGGUGAAAGGCAGUACUAAGAUUAACCUGUGUCCCCAGUUCUUUCUAGAAGGACUUCCAGAAGUUGGCUGUAAAUUGUUCUCCUCUAUCAGAGAUAAUAGAUAUUGGGACACCGUGUAGCCUAACAAUCUCUCUAAUAUAGAGACCUGCAUAGUCUUCGGCCGAGAAAGUAACCCUGACUGGUAAAAAGUGGGCUGAUUUUGUUAGUCUAUCAACAAUUACCCAAAUAGAGUCAAACUUGUGACGCGAUUGAGGUAACCCUAUAAUAAAAUCCAUAUUAAUUGCUUCCCACUUCCACAAAGGAAUGGCUAUCUCCUGAACUAGCCCAGUGGGUUUUUGGUGCUCAACCUUCACCUGUUGGCAGUUAGGACACUGUGCCACAAAUUCAGCAACGUCCUUCUUCAUCCCGUGCCACCAAUAGAUCUCAUUAAUAUCAUGGUACAUCUUCGUCGAACCAGGGUGAAUAGAAUAACGGGAAUGAUGUGCCUCUUCCAUAAUUUGAUGUCGAAGCCCUGCAACAUUUGGAACACACAAUCGAAUGUUAUAUCUGAGGACUCCAUCUUCUGCUAUAUCAAAUGCUAAAGACUGUGGAUCCUGAGCCUUGUCUCUAAGCUUCUCUAAGCUAAGAUCCUCUUGUUGCUGUGAUUUUACUUCUACAACUAGAGAUGAUACAGCUGUAUCCUGAAUUGUGAACCCACUAUCGUCUGCCUCUAACAAUCUGACUCCUAAGCUAGCUAACUGAUGAAGCUCUCGCGCUAGCUCCCGCUUCUCAACACCUAAGUGGGAUAAACUACCCAUAGAUUUUCGAUUGAUGGCAUCGGCUACCACAUUCGCCUUUCCUAAAUGAUAUAAAAUAUUCAUGUCGUAGUCUUUCAGUAACUCAAGCCAUCGACGCUGUCGCAAAUUUAACUCCUUCUGUCUAAAUAUAUAUUGAAGGCUCUUAUGCUCUGUGAAGAUGUCAACAUGAACUCCAUACAAAUAGUGUCUCCAGAUUUUUAACGCAUGCACAACUGCAGCCAACUCUAAAUCGUGGGUCAGAUAGUUCUUCUCAUGCUUCCUCAACUUCCUUGAAGCAUAUGCGAUAACCUUACCAUGUUGCAUUAGAACACAUCCCAAACCCAACACCAGAAGCAUCACAAUACACCACAUGGCCUUCUGAACCGUCUGGUAAUGCAAGAACUGGUGCUGAUGUCAACCUCCUGGAAACUGUGCUCGCAAUCCUCAGUCCACUGGAACUUAGCUGCUUUUUGAGUCAGCUUUGUUAAUGGGCCUGAAAUUGAAGAAAAUCCCUCUACAAACCUUCUGUAGUACCCAGCUAACCCUAAGAAACUACGAACCUCAGUCGGAGUCAUGGGUCUGGGCCAAGUCUUUACGGCCUCAAUCUUUUGUGUAUCAACCGCAAUGCCUGCAUCUGAUACAAUAUAGGCCUAAGAAGACUACAGAGUCUAAUCAGAACUUAUACUUAGAAAACUUUGCAUAAAGUUCUCGGUCUCAAAGAACCUGAAAGACUGCUCGCAUAUGAUUUGCAUGCUCAACUUUUGAAUGUGAAUACACCAAAAUAUCAUCAAUAAAUACAAUCACAAACAAGUCUAAAUACGGCCUGAAUAUACUAUUCAUCAGGUCCAUGAACACUGCUGGGCAUUAGUUAAUCUAAAAGACAUUACCAAGAACUCAAAGUGUCCAUAUCUAGUUCUAAAAGCUGUCUUUGGAACGUCAUUCUCCCGAACUCGUAUCUGGUGGUACCCUAAUCUUAAAUCAAUCUUUGAGAAGCACUUAGCACUUUGUAANNNNNNNNNNNNNNNNNNNNNNNNNNNNNNNNNNNNNNNNNNNNNNNNNNNNNNNNNNNNNNNNNNNNNNNNNNNNNNNNNNNNNNNNNNNNNNNNNNNNNNNNNNNNNNNNNNNNNNNNNNNNNNNNNNNNNNNNNNNNNNNNNNNNNNNNNNNNNNNNNNNNNNNNNNNNNNNNNNNNNNNNNNNNNNNNNNNNNNNNNNNNNNNNNNNNNNNNNNNNNNNNNNNNNNNNNNNNNNNNNNNNNNNNNNNNNNNNNNNNNNNNNNNNNNNNNNNNNNNNNNNNNNNNNNNNNNNNNNNNNNNNNNNNNNNNNNNNNNNNNNNNNNNNNNNNNNNNNNNNNNNNNNNNNNNNNNNNNNNNNNNNNNNNNNNNNNNNNNNNNNNNNNNNNNNNNNNNNNNNNNNNNNNNNNNNNNNNNNNNNNNNNNNNNNNNNNNNNNNNNNNNNNNNNNNNNNNNNNNNNNNNNNNNNNNNNNNNNNNNNNNNNNNNNNNNNNNNNNNNNNNNNNNNNNNNNNNNNNNNNNNNNNNNNNNNNNNNNNNNNNNNNNNNNNNNNNNNNNNNNNNNNNNNNNNNNNNNNNNNNNNNNNNNNNNNNNNNNNNNNNNNNNNNNNNNNNNNNNNNNNNNNNNNNNNNNNNNNNNNNNNNNNNNNNNNNNNNNNNNNNNNNNNNNNNNNNNNNNNNNNNNNNNNNNNNNNNNNNNNNNNNNNNNNNNNNNNNNNNNNNNNNNNNNNNNNNNNNNNNNNNNNNNNNNNNNNNNNNNNNNNNNNNNNNNNNNNNNNNNNNNNNNNNNNNNNNNNNNNNNNNNNNNNNNNNNNNNNNNNNNNNNNNNNNNNNNNNNNNNNNNNNNNNNNNNNNNNNNNNNNNNNNNNNNNNNNNNNNNNNNNNNNNNNNNNNNNNNNNNNNNNNNNNNNNNNNNNNNNNNNUGCUGAAGUCUGGGGUCCACACCCUGUAGACUGUGCUGAUGAGGAGGAAUUUACUGCUGACCUGGUCGACUGACAUGUACCACCCUGACCUAUGGUAGGGCAGAUUCUGCACCCAUACCCCUCCUGUCCACAAGAAUAACAACUUGUGGAACCCUGUCUGCACCUCCCGAAAUGCAUCCUACCGCAAGUAAUGCAACGCGGCGGGGAUGUCCUAGCCUGGCCUGAACCCCUCUGCUGCUGCAAGCCUGAUGCUCGUGAACCCUCACCUGAGCCUGACUGUUCCUGAUGAUCAAAUCUACUACCCUGGAACUACUGUGGUGGAGGUCUAGGUGGCCUAAUAAAAUAUCGGGGUCUGGGACCACCCCUAAAAAAUCUCCCUGCGAACCAGUGGGCCUAGCCCUCUUCUGUCUCUCUCUCGACCCUCUCACUUGUCGUAUACUGUAGAUGUCGGCGAUCCUCUAUGCCUUGUGCGAAGGCCUGAAUCCGCGAGAUAUCCAUAUUAUCAUUUAGCGCAACGGUAGAACAAGCCUCAAUAUAGUCUGAGUUAAGCCCUCCCACAAAUCUACGUACCCUGUCAUGCAUCGUAUCAACAAAUGUUGGUGCAUAUCUAACCAAUGAAUCAAAUCUCAUCCCGUACUCUCGGACACUAAUGUCAUAUUGUCGGAGUUUCAGAAACUGGUCCACCCGGCCAUCCCUAAUCUCUCGAAGCAAAUAGUGAUCUAUGAAAGCUUCUGUAAAGCUACCCUAAGUGGGUAGAGAUGUAUCUUCUCCCAUAGAUCUCUCCCAACUUUCAUACCACAAUACUGCAACAUCACGCAAUCGAAAUGCUGCUAACUCAACUGACUUAGUCGCCGAGGCAUGCAUGACUCUGAAGAUCCUAUGAAGCUGAUCAACAAAGUGCUAAAGGUCUUCUCUGCGAUCUGUUGCUGUAAACUGUGGAGGAUUCAAGGCAAGAAAUUCACGAACUCUCGAACUUCCGAGACCUUCAGAAGGUCCGGCAAUAUCUGGCGCAACUGGUUGGCACUGUGCAGCUACUAACUGUGCUAACAUAUAUACUGCACUCUUGAAAUCCUAAUCAGAUGAAAUAGGAGGAACUAGAUGUGGUACUGCUGGUGGAGCCGGAAGUCAUGUAGCCCUCGGAGGCUCCUGAAGCUGUGGAGAAGCUAUAGGGAGCUGAGAAGAUGUCCCCCCCUGGGUCUCACAAUGGGCCACCUCCACCUGUGGUACUUUGUCGGUACCCUCGCUUGCAGUUGUUACUAGCCCCUAGCUAGUUGUGGUCUGUCUAGUGUCAGUCAUCUCUAUCUGCAUACAAGUAUCAAUUACAAGCCAGAAACCUCAACCCUUAAGACACCGCUCUAUAGCACGAGGUGAGCAAAAGAAGGAUAGUCAUUCUAACAUGCCCGGUAGCUUCUUGCUUAUCGAAUGUGGUGCACAACACAUUUAUAAACAAGACUCUACUAGACAUGGCUUGCAGACUCCCUAGGAUACGACGUUGCUCUGAUACCAAGUUUGCCACGCCCCAAACUCAAGGGGCGCAACUNNNNNNNNNNNNNNNNNNNNNNNNNNNNNNNNAAAGAACCAGCUACUCCCAAGAGUUCAUAUAAAGAAACAUCCAACUAGCACAGAAGUCUUGAUUGGGCCGUUGAGGCCACCAUGAUAUCUAUACCAAAAUUAAAAGCAAGUAUAUAUCAAUACAAUACAUCAAACAGCUCACAAGCUUCCGCAAACCAACAACGUAAGCAAGCAUGGCCAUAACGUAGCUAUAAACCCCACACACUAGUCUGCAAGCCUCUAAGAGUAGUAAAGAUUGGUGGGACAGGGCCCCAGCCUACCCAUAAAGAUAUAUACAACAAAAGUUAACAAACCUCCCAACUCUGGCAGCUCCGUAGGCAACUCAUAGCCCUGUUAGGCAUCCAUAUAGCCCUGUAGGCAGAACAUAGCCCUUCUAGGCAUAUAUCACAUUCCUGCAGCUAACCAAAAUAGCCCCAACGACAAUAAUAACAAUCCAACCGCUAAAAGCGAGCAAUUUAGUUAUAAGUAACCUAUACAUAUAGCCUCUAAGUCGUGUCCAACAUAGGGACGCUACUAACUGAAUAAGAAUCUUGACAAUGGAGGAUUAUAUCAACUCGAGCAGCCAACAAUCAACAAUCACGGCUACAAGUAUAUCAAGGAUAACAACCCAAAUACAUUGCUUCUAAGCUUUUAGGAAACAUGCUGUAAGUAGGGAAUAGCCUUAACCUACCUUUUUCGCUAAAUUCACGUGGCCUAACGACUUUUACUCAAUACUCCCUCGAUACUACAACAAGGUAGGACCAUAAUCAACACACAAAAAUAAAAGAUACCAUGACAAUACGAUAAAAUAUAUGUAUUUCCGUUGCAAAUUGCUAUUUGCUGCUUAUAAAAGCUAGAGUCGAUAAAGAAGGGUCUUACCUCGAUCUUAAGGUCGUAAUACGCUUCAAAACCUUCAAAUAUAUCCAAACCCUUGUUGUCUCAACACUAAAGUGUGAUAUGCUACGCAAUCGAUAAAACAAAUUAUACCACGAUGAUGAGCCCAAUGCGUAGAACAACUUUCGUCAAGGACUUAACUCGAGAAAAUCUAUAUUUCACUUGAUCCUUAGAAAUGGGUUUCUCUAAUUUCUCUGGUUUUUUAGCUUAUAAUGGAGAAAAAGGUCGAAGGAGAAGAUAUAUGUAACAUUCCACCGACUUAGGGCCCCACCUCACGUGCCUGCUUGCGCAGUCCCACGAAAAUGCUAAUACCUCUCUAUUCUGAAGUCGUAUGAACGAACGUUUUGAUGCAUUGAAAACUAGACUCGUAGACCUUCGAUUUCAUAGAUCGCGGGGACCAUAACUCUUAAUAGAUUAGGAGACAACGUCCGAGACAUUUGUCUCAAAUUUCAGACAAAUCUUUAAAAAGGAAUUUACGGUAACUUUCGCCAACUUUUAUUUUGUCACUUACCUAACUUCAAAACUUGAGAUACCACACUUGAACACUUAAAAUAUCACAUAACACAUCAUUUUUAAUUUAUUGCUCACCUUCCUUUUCUUUCCACGAAGAUACGAGUUAAUUUAGACGUUUUUCAAAGUCGGGGUGUUACAUCAUUAACCAUAGACAAUAAUAAAAGAAACAAUUCAUUCAAAACGUGAAAAAAAAGUGACAACAAUCCAUUUGAAACGAAAAUAGUUAGAAUGACUGACAUUAUAGAACUUUCAAUCAUUGAAUUUACUAUGAAUAAAAGCUUCAAAAUUCAUUAUUUUGGCCUAGAAGAAAGAGAAAGUGUAUAAUUUCAAUCUUAUAAAGAAUUGUCAUAGACACACUCAUAUACAUAAAACCAAUUCGAUAAAUAUUCUCACCUUGGGGAUUUUUGCUUUGAUAAGUAAAUUAUAAAUAAAUUUUGAUGAAAAUACAUAUAAGAUCUUUAAAAUUAUUUAUAAAAAUAAUAUAUUAUGCAUGUAUGUUAAUUAAAUAUAUGUAUAUAAUUUGUCGAUUCGGUUCAGUUAUUUUUUCUUCGAUUUUUUUCGAACAAAACCAUAACCAACCCAUAUACUAUCGGUUCUUAAAAAUCUAAAACCAAACCACACCUAACCCAAAUAAAAAUCGGUUUGGUUCAGUUUUUCGAUUUGGAUCAGUUUUUAUCCGAACCGUGAACACCCCUACUCAUGCAUAUAUAAAAAGUAAUAUAUUCCUUCGAAAAGGUAUCUCAAGAAUUUCAUAAGUUCAUGAAUUUGUUUAUUAUUAUUUUUACAUUAAAAUUUGUUGCAAGCUAUUUGGCACGCGGAUCAAAUUUUCCCUUCAUCUCUUAUCUCUUAUCUCACAAAUCAGAUUCAUAAAUUCGAAGCCCCAAAUUUGCAAAGAUGAAGCUUCAUUUUUAUGAGUGCUUCAAGUCUUGUCUUUGAGUUUAUCAAGUCUUACACUCCAAUAAGCCUUAAAGUAGGGGCAUUUGUAGAUAUCGAAACUUUGUAGGACUUUACAAGACGAGUUCAAUUUCAGUUAGGUUUUAAAAAUCUAUUUUACUCUAAACCCUAACUCUUGUCUAUAUAAAGGGUAAUAUGUGAAAUAUUCAUAAUGAUCGUGAUGUGGCCGACCCUAUAAAGGGAAGAAUAAUAUUGUACCACUUUUUUUUUAAUAUUUUAUUAGUGAUUAUAAUUUAUUUCUUAUCACAUUAAAAUUUUAUUGCAAACAACUAUUUAAAAAUUAAAAUCUAUGUUUAGCCAUAAAUACAAAUUAAAGUUAGUUUUAAAAAAAUUUCAAAUGAUUUUAGGCGCAAAUAACUUUUUUAAUAUUUUCCAAAUUCAAGUAAAAUAUCAAAAUUUUAUGAUUAAAUAUAAUUUUUUUGAAAAUUCAACUCUAAAAAGAAAGUAAAAAAAAUAAAAUAUUCUUCAUCAAACGUCAAUUAUUCACUCAAGUUAAGUCUCUAUCAUGGGGUGGGUGGGGGGGGACCCCCUUAGAGUGUUUAAAUUAUUGACAAUUCUCAUCGUUGUGUUGCCAAUUUUAUAACCAAAAAGUGUAGCUGGUUGGAAAUGGUGCUUUCAAUGUCAAAUCAAGAUGACACGUGGAUAGCUACAGUUUUAAUCAAAUGCAAGAACGUGAUGUAAGAUAAUGCUAGCAUAAUUAAUAACUAAAUCACUUAAUUGGUAUUAGAUAUGCUUAUAAUUUUAGUUGAUUGAAGGCAUGAUCCUAAAUAAAAAAAUAUGAAGAUUGAGGAUUAGAUUAAAAGAAUAGUGUAGAUAGUCGAGUAUGUUGUUGUACUAUAAUUUACUACGUGUAGUAAUUUCUUUUCCUCCAUUGUAUUAAUAUCUGAUGUUGCAGGUGUUUUGUCCAUUAUUAUUUUGUUUUUUAAAUUUUUUUAAUGUUUUACUUUCUUGCUAUUUUAGUCAACGGUCUAUCAAAAACAAAUUUUCUAUCUCCCGCAAAAGUAAAGAUAAGAUUUAGAUACAUUCUAUUAUUUCAAUAUCCCAUUAGUGGAAUAUAUUAUUGUUGUUAACCACUUAAUUGAUCUCAAUAUAUAUAGAAAAAAGUUUUAAUAUCAUUAAAAAGUUUAUUCAAAGGGUCCAUAAAAAAUGAUGAUUCACCAGUUUUAUUCCUUCACCACUGUUUUCAUCGCUCACCAUUAUCAACUACCAUCGUUGUCAUUCACUAUUAACCAUCAUUUAUAAUUAUUACCAUAACAACUCCUGACUGCUAAUGAUAAAUAUCAUUGAUCUUGGGCAUAUUUAUAUGUCCAAUUACUACGAAUUACCCCUCUUUAACAUUCACUAUUCUAAUUGACAUGUUUUGAUGUAGGAUUGCAAUGAUUGCAUACUAAUAUAGAUGAUUAGCUAUUUUGCAGGGUUCCUAAGAGAAGUGUUGUGUAAUGAGAGCAAAGGAAACAAGGACGACAAAGCGACGCACAAGGAGCAGUCGAGCGCACUGCCCCAGCCAACCUAGCGCGAUGGUGGCGCAGGGCGCCAUCCCUAAAAGUACUGAGACCUCUUUUUGACGCACUGGUGGUGUAGGACGCUAGCCUUGUGUCACUACCAGAUGCAUUCUAGGCGCGAAUCUGACGCGAUGCCCCAACCUCUGACCGACUUGUUAAACGAAAUUUGGUUUUCUUAGGAUUCCUACUUGGGCUAGAAUUGGAAAUAUUUUUUCUAAACUCUAUAAAUAGGACCCUAGGGUUAUUUUGUAAAGGUUCGACUUCUUUUUGGUGUGCAUGAGCAAGGAUUAACACAUUGUCAUAGUUUCGAUUCUUUAGCUUUUCGUUAAUUUUGAAUUGCAUAAACAAUAUUAUAUUUGAGUUUUUGAAUAUUAUGAGUGGCUAAAAGCCCUUGUUUUGGGGUCGUAGGUAUGGGUAAUUGUUAAGCAUCAAUGGUUUUGAGUUAAUUCUUGAAUAUCAUUUAAAGUUACUUUUGUGUUCUUGUUUUAGUAUUUCUCAACUGACCAUCAUAGAUAUAAACCUCUUGUCUAUUCUUGAACUUGGGAGACGAUAAGGUAGAUAGAUCAAAGAAUAUAAAAAAGCCUAAUCUUUCUUGCAUAUCACUUGAUUAGAUUCAUGCUUAGGAUUGACAACCGGACGAACACCAAGCUUGGUUACAAAACAAGAUGAAAUUUAAAUGCUCGCCAAUUAGGACUGUCUAUCCCUGCUCAACGAUGUAGUUAUACAGCUAAUUGGAGUAGGCGAUUAGAGGUCGGGAGACCAUGAUCAUAAAAUCAACCCUGUAAAUCAGUAAUUUGGUAACCUUAAUUAGUUCAUUACUUAAGAUGCAAUACAUGAAACCUGAUGUAUGUUGCAGACCUGAAAUUGUCUCUUAGUUAUCAAAUUGAAGUCGUUAUCGUUGUUACUUUAUUUAUUAAAUUGUUCUUCGUAGUAGUAAACAAAAAUCACACUUCUUUAAAGAUACUUCUGUUAAAUUGUAAAGUUAAAUUGGUUAAUAUAAAUUGAUCGUAAGUCCCUUGGGUACGAUAACUCAUUUCUAAAAGGAACUAUACUACUUGUGCAACCACGUACACUUGCGUGUGCAUUUGAGCACAAUAAGUUUUUGGUGCCGCUGUCGGGUACUUUAGAAUUAAUUUAUAUUUAAUUUUCUUAAGUCUACUAUUUGAUUGUUCAAGUGUCAAUAACUUGAUUUUAGCUAUUUUGUAUUCCAGGCACUUGGUUCUAAAGUUUGGCUUGAAAAGAAGACCUUGUUAAACCAGACGAUGAACCUGACAGAGCUCUUCGACUACGAAGAAAGCUGGCGAAUCAAGUGCGACAACAGGAAUUAGGACUGGAUCUCCAAAAAAAUACUGAAGGUAACCACGAGAAUAACAUGAAUAACGAAGAACAUGAGGUACCCAUGGUAGUACCGGCGAGACCAGUCUGUGAUGUGGCAAUCCCCCUCACCACCAAUGUGGCAUCAAGUAUACAGAAACCACCAUCAGGUGGUAGAUUUGAGCUGAAACAGAACAUGACACACCUCAUUCACUCAAUGGAGCAGUUCACCAGCCUUCCUCACGAGGAUCCAUAAGUGUAUAUAAUGAACUUUCUGGAAAUAAGCGACAGGUACAUUACGAAUGGGGUAUCAUCUGAUUACAUGAGAUUGACUCUUUUUCCACUUUCAUCAUUGGCAGAAGCAAAGGCAUGGUUAGAUGCGGAGCCACCAAAUUCAAUUACUCACUACAUGAGAUUAUUUAGCAAAAAGGUUUUUGGGUCGAUUUUUCCCAUCAGGCAAAACUGCAAGGUUGAGGAGUGAGAUCUUAAACUUCAAGCAGAGAAACAAAGAAGAUAUGUACCAAGCAUGAGCUCGAUUUAAGCAAAUGUUAAAUGCUUGUCCACAUAAUUAUCAAGCGAAUGAGGUACUAGCUCACACUUUCUUUUGAGGGUCUUGAAUAUAAUGCACUAUUACUUCUCAACAGUGCAGCAGGUGGACAAGCUUUGGCAAAGACCUAUGAUGAACUGUUCGACCUACUAAACAGACUCUCGGAGGGAAACCCAUAAUGGAAUGAAGAGGCACCAAGGACCAUGGUGCAAAGGGCUGCAAGAGUUUUAGAUGUAGAUCAAGUAACUACUAUAACUGCAAAGUUAGAUGCAAUGCAAUAUCAGAUGACCAUGCAGUUCAAGAAAAUCACACUAGCUCAACAACAAGCACCAAUGAAUAUUAUACAACAAAAUGUUGGUUAGUGCGGAGUUUGUCGUAGUGGGGAGCAUGCGACUGAAUGUUGUGAAGCGAAUCCAGACUCCGUGAACUAUGUGGGCAAAGCCCAAAGACGUGGAGGAACACAUAAUUAUGGAAAAAACAUACAACUAAAGCUGGAGAAAUCACCAUAACUUCUCAUGCCGGUGGAAAUCAAAACCAGAACUAAAUCAGGCACAAGGGACCAACCAACCGAGCACAAGGGAAUGGUCCUCAUUACCAAAAUUAUGGUCAAGGUAAUAAUCAAGGUGCACAAUAAGGGAGUAUGACUAAUGAAGAGUUGUUCCAAAAGUUGAUGGUAGAGAUCGGUAAGAACAAAGCAAAAACUGUUUCAUACCUAAACUAUAUAUGCACUCUCUCUUUUAUUUGAAAAAAACAUUGACACAUGACAUUCCAAAUGGAUAAAAUAUUCCACCUUGACAAAAAUUAAAUAAUAAACCUAUUAAUAUUAAUUAAAAUUUAAAGAUUACAGUAUUAUUAUAAUUUUUUUUAAAAUAAAAAUAAAUUAUUUUUCUUACCUCACUCCACCACCUCCUCUCCCCUCCCUCGACAAUCCCCAUCCUUUUAUUUUUUUUACAAUUUCUUUUAUAAAAUAUUUAAAAAAAUUCAUACUUCACCCUCUCGCACCCCAAAAAAAAAAAAAACCAUCCACUCAUCCCCCCCCCCUCCAAAAAAAUUGAUAUUAUUUUAUUUUUAAAAAUAAAAAUUCUGCCCCAUCCUAUUUAACCCUCCGUUCAUAAUUUAUAUUUACAUUUUUCUCGUUAUGUGUUAGAUAUGUGCAUAUAUUUUUAGGAAUUUUUUUCUACUUGUGUACUGAAUAUAACAUUAAUAAAAUGGUGCUUUCAAUGUCAAAUAAAAAAUUGACACGAGUUAAAUAAGCUAUUUCCUUGUGCUUGAAUCAUGAUAUUGAGUUGACAUGGGGGGCUACAAUUAUUAGGGUUCCGGAAUUUUCAUAACUAUUUUGUCAUAUUAUUUUUAUUAACUGAUUUUAAUAUUAGGUCUUUGCCUCAUUAUAUGAAGAAUACAUAAUCAAUAUUAAAACUAAAAACAUGAAAAGAAUAAUUAUCGUUGGUUGAUAUACAAGAAAUGACAAGUAAAAAUAAAAAUUUAUUUUCAAAAUAGUGAACUACUCCUAAAUCCUAAUAAAAAUGACACAUAAAGUAUCUUCAAAGCAAUUUUUAACACAAGAAUAAUCCAGCGUGUGUAACUAAAUUAAGUACUAUUUCAAUUAAGUGAUAUACAUUAAGAAUCAAAAUAAAAUACUAUUACUCAUAUAUUAAGAAGUAUUUUGGUCUAUUUUUUCUCCAAAUACAACUUGAAGUUGAAGGCUAGACAAUAUUAUAAUUUUUUAUAUGACAUGAUCUGCCACUCUGCCAGCCUUUUUACUACUAAAACAUACUUUAUAAUUGAUUUGCUUUAGAAAUUUGCGUCUUAUAUUGUUUGUUUAAAAAACAUUUAAAUAUACAUUUCUCAACAUGUUAUAAUUUUGGUUGUCUGCUGUUGUAUGAACCAGACGCACUUUAUUAUGAUGAAGAAUAAAUUUUUAAAUUCAAUUUGAAAAAUAAAAGUAAAAAAUAUUCAUGAUCCAAUUAAUAGCGUAUUGGUAGUUAGUUAUAGAUAUGCAUUAGUUUGAAUUUUGAAUUGAAAAGAUCUGGUAUACAGUUUGUCUCCUAUAGGACUCUUCUAGGUAUAGAAUUUGUGUCCUUGUAGGAGUUAACCACAUCAGUUGUUCCUGUACUUUGUAUCUAUAAAAAGAGCGUCUUGCUCUUUCAUUAAUAAUAAGAUUGAUACUCUGUUUUACCAAUUUAUCAUGGUAUCAGAGCAGCAGUAAACAAUAACAAAAUAAUAAUGACGGGGAACGAUAAUGAAGUAGCCAAUUCUCCAUACACGCUGCAACCAACUGAUAACCCUGGAGUGUCUCUGGUCACAUGUUUGCUCACACAAGAUAACUAUUCUACAUGGCGGAGGGCCAUGAGAAAUGCUUUGUUGGCUAAGUCAAAGUUAGGCUUUGUUGAUGGUAGUCUUCCGCGACCAACAACAAGCUCUACAAACGAAGCUGCCUGGAUUAAGGGAAAUUCCAUGGUAAUAUCUUGGAUUUUUAACUCUCUUCAUCCCUCACUUCACAGUAGUGUAGCUUUUUUUGAUACAGCAGGUGAACUUUGGAAAGAUUUAGAGGAGAGAUUUUCACAAGGGAAUGCUCCUCGAGUUCACCAGUUGAAGAUAGAGAUAGUGAAUACACAACAGCAGGAUCAAACAAUGAGUGUUUACUACACCAAAUUGAAGGGAUUAUGGGAUGAGUAUGGAUCGUAUUGUCAGUUACCAAACUGCAGUUGUGGUGCCAUUAAGGAAUAUGCAGCAGAAAGGGAAAAAAAGAAGGUUCAUCAGUUUCUUAUGGGAUUGAAUGAGAAAUUUAAUGUUGUUCGAUCUCAGAUUUUAAAUACUGAACCAUUACCAUCUCUAGCCCGUGUGUAUGGACUAGUUUCACAGGAAGAACGACAACAACAACUCACUACAAGCAAAGGAAAUAAUUUAUUGGAGGGGGCAUCAUUUGCUUCAAAGAGAAACACCAAUACUUUCAAUUCUCGUCAAUUGUCAGGUAACCGUGAUGUCUCUAAACUAUUUUGUGAUCACUGUAAACGAUGGAGACACACCAAGGACAAAUGUUUUGAACUACAUGGCUAUCCAGAUUGGUGGGAAAACAAUAGAAAAGGAAAAGGUAAGUCAGCUAAUUCCAGUCGAACAUCAGAAGUUGAACGUGUGGAUUACUCCCCAAUAAGUGGUUUAUCAAAAGAACAAUAUAACCAGCUUAUGUCUCUUUUAAGCCUUGAAAACUCCAAGGGUAUCGAUUCAAUGGCUAAUUUUGCUGGUAAGGCUGUUACUUUUCCUGCCGCUAAUUAUGAAUGGAUAUUAGAUUCGGGAGCGUCUGAUCAUAUGACUUGUCAGAAGAAUUCUCUGUCUAAUGAAAGAAAGCUUCUCUUUGAUUCUAAUAUAACUAUUCCUGAUGGUUCAUCUGUUACUGCUAAUACUUGUGGAAAUGUGACUCUUAAUUCUUCAAUAACCUUAAAUCAUGUUUUACAUGUUUAGAUGUUUGGCUGCAAUCUUAUUUCUAUCAGUAAGUUGACACAAUCAUUAAAUUGUGUUGCUCAUUUUUUCCCUUCCUUUUGUGUUCUGCAGGACUUAGCCACGAGGAAGCUGAUUGGCAUGGGUAAACUGAAGAAUAGCUUUUAUUAUUUCCAAAGUCAAGCACUAGUUUCAGCUCUUUUGUCAAAUAAAGACCAAACUAUUUUGUGGCAUCAACGUCUUGGUCAUGUAUCUUUUAGUCGUUUGUCUUUCAUUUCAGAACUUCAGUUUUUUAAUUUUAAUAAGUUAGAUGAUUAUUGUGAUGCUUGCCACCGAGCUAAGCAAAUUCGGAAGUCAUUUCCUGUUAGUUCUAUUAAAUCUAAUGAAGCUUUUGAUUUGAUUCAUUGUGAUUUAUGGGGUCCCUAUCAUUCACCUUCUUUGUCAAAGUCUCAUUAUUUCUUGACCAUCGUGGAUGAUUUUACUAGAACUACUUGGGUGUAUUUGCUUAAGUCUAAAACUGAAGUUUCUCAUUUAUUGAUUUCCUUUCUUGCAAUGGUACAAAGACAAUUUAAUCGUCUUGUUAAAAUCAUUCGCAGUGACAACGGCACAGAGUUUACUAAUAGUUCACUUUAACAAUGUUGUCGGGAAGAAGGAAUACUAAAUCAGUUUUCUUGUAUCUCUACACCCCAACAAAAUGGUGUAGUAGAACGUAAACAUCGACAUUUACUUGAUGUCGCUAGAUCCUUAAGGUUUCAUGCUGGUUUACCAAUAAAAUUUUGGGGAGAGUGCGUUCUAACAACAACUUAUUUAAUAAAUUACACACCAACACCUCUUUUAUCUGGAAAAAGUCCAUAUGAGUUGUUGUUUUCCUCAAAACCUUCUUAUACACAUUUACGUGUUUUUGGAUGUCUCUGUUAUGCUUCAGUUAUUCCACGAUCUCGUGAUAAAGUUCAUGAUAAAGCCACACCUUGUAUUUUUCUGGGUUAUCCAUAUGGUCAUAAAGGUUAUAAGGUCUUUGAUCUAAAAACACAUCAAGUAUUUGUUUCUCGUGAUGUGAUUUUUCAUGAAAGAGUUUUUCCUUAUAAAGAAAAUACUCUUUCUUCUCUUAAAAAUCAACCACGAGUACCUUUACCAUUGUCGAUUGAUGAUCCUGAUCAAACCUUUUCAAGCCAAGGUCCACCACAAGAAAAUCUCAAUCCAGGCACAAUACACCCAAAUAUGGCUCCAAGUGACACCAUAAAUCUUCAACAAUCACCAGAUCAGAUUAUUGAACCAUCAAGAACACCUACUGUUCCAAUUCGACCUCAACGCACCAAAACCCAACCAGCUCAUCUUAAAGAUUUUCUAGUCAAUCUCCCGAACAAUAAUAAAGGUUCUUCUUCAGGCUCAUCCAACACAGCUUGCUCAGGUAUUUGUCCAGCUUAUCCUUUAUCUCACUAUGUUUCCUACUCCAAUUUUUCCACGGCUCAUACAUGUUUUCUUUCGGCCAUUACCCACCAUAAUGAGCCAACAUCUUACAAACAAGCAGUACAGGUGGAACACUGGAAGCAAGUCAUGAGAAAAGAGUUGGAAGCACUUGAACAAAACCACACAUGGACCUUAGAACAUCUCCCUGUAGAUAAAAGAGUUAUUGGUUGUAAAUGGGUCUACAAAAUUAAAUUUAACUCUGAUGGAUCAAUUGAGCGAUAUAAGGCACGCCUUGUCGCUAAAGGCUACAACCAAGUAGAAGGUUUAGAUUAUAAUGAAACGUUUGCUCCAGUUGCCAAACUCACUACAGUUCGUACUCUUUUAGCUGUUGCAGCUGUGCGAAAUUGGGAUCUCCAUCAAUUGGAUGUGCAUAAUGCUUUUAUUCAUGGAGAUUUACAUGAAGAAGUUUACAUGCAACCACCACCUGGAUAUUUGUCGGCCGAAGAUAAUAGAGUUUGUCGCCUUCGACGGUCACUUUAUGGAUUAAAGCAGGCCUCAAGGCAGUGGUUUGUUAAGUUUUCUACUGCUAUUUUAAGGUUUGGCUUUACACAAUCCAAGGCUGACACUUCUUUAUUUUUAUAUCGACGAUGAAAUUCUUUUGCAGCUAUUCUUGUAUAUGUAGAUGAUGUGAUCGUUGCCACUAAUGAUUCAUUCAAUUUGAAAGCUUUAAAGGGCUACUUAGCAUCCUGGUUUCCUAUAAAGGAUUUGGGUCCUCUAAAGUAUUUUCUUGGUCUAGAAGUUGCUCGCAGUUCAGAAGGAAUAGUUCUUUCACAGCGAAAAUACACGCUGGAUAUUUUAAAAGAAACGGGCAUGCUGGGAUCUAAACCAGUGAAAUUUCCCAUGGAACAGCAUCACCGUUUAACUUUGGAUGAAAGUUCUCCUCUGCAGGAUCCUGGGCCCUUUCGUAGAUUGGUUGGGAGGCUGAUUUAUCUAUCUGUUACUAGGCCUGAUAUUUGUUAUUCAGUUCAUUUGUUGUCUCAAUUCAUGCACCAGCCUCGACAUAAUCAUUGGUUAGCUGCCCUCCGAAUAUUGCGUUAUUUAAAGCUUGCACCAGGCCAAGGUAUUUUCCUUUCAAUAUCAAGUCCUUUGUCUAUAAAAGGAUUUUGUGAUUCAGAUUGGGCAAGUUGUCCACUCACCCGUCGUUCAACCAGUGGGUAUAUCAUAUUUCUUGGUCAUUCACCUAUUUCAUGGAAGACCAAGAAACAGAUAACAGUGUCACGUUCUUCUGCUGAAGCAGAAUAUCGUUCAAUGGCAACAACUGCUUGUGAGAUCAUUUGGAUACGCCAAUUACUUUCAGACUUAUAUGUCCCUUGUUUGGAUCGUUUCUUUAUAUUGUGAUAGUCAAGCCGCACGUCAUAUUGCCAACAAUUCAGUUUAUCAUGAACGAACUAAGCACAUUGAGGUGGACUGUCAUUUUGUUCGGGACUGUAUUCAACGGGGUUUGUUGGUUUGUCAUCACAUUUCAACACAACAUCAACUUGCUGAUGUUUUUACUAAAGCUUUAGGUGCGCACCAGUUUCAAAUAUUAAUUGCCAAGUUGGGCAUUCGGAACCUCCACGCUCCAACUUGAGGGGGCGUAAUAGCGUAUUGGUAGUUAGUUAUAGAUAUGCAUUAGUUUGAAUUUUGAAUUGAAAAGAUCUGGUAUACAGUUUGUCUCCUAUAGGACUCUUCUAGGUAUAGAAUUUGUGUCCUUGUAGGAGUUAACCACAUCAGUUGUUCCUGUACUUUGUAUCUAUAAAAAGAGCGUCUUGCUCAUUCAUUAAUAAUAAGAUUGAUACUCUGUUUUACCAAUUUAUCACCAAUCGUUAUCAAAAUUUAAAUUGUCUAAUAUGCCCCCACUCUUCCUCUGUCACGUCUAUAUGUCAUUCAAUAUUUUGGAAGCAACCAAUUUAAGGCGAUAAAUGUGGGCAUGGGGUUUAGUGUUUCUUACUCUUUCUCUCUGUCUCUGUUAAUCAUAUAUUAAAGCAAAAGAAGAAAACUGAAGAGGAAACAGAGAAUGGUACUGAAAAUGGGCACAGAAUCACAAGUUGAAGUGAGCACAAGAAAGGGUGGUCUUAGAACCAUGCCAUUCAUCAUUUGUACUACUCUUACUCUAUUCUUUUACUUUUCUUUAGUUAAAUUGUUUUGCAAUGUGUUAUUAUAUUUCAAUUUUUCACUUUUUUGGUUGUUGUUGUUGUUUUCAGUGAAUGAAUCAUUUGAAAGGGUAGCAAGUUUUGGUUUACAAAUGAAUAUGAUAAUCUACUUGAUGACAUAUUAUAACAUGAGUGCUGCUACUGGAACUAGUAUUCUUGGACUAUGGGGUGCACUUUCAAAUGGAUUGGCUCUUUUUGGGGCAAUUACUGCUGAUUUUUACUUGGGUCGGUAUAGGGCUGUUGCCUAUGGAUCCAUCUCCACUCUUAUUGUGAGUGUUUUGAUGACAAUCUGUUAUCUCACUACUGCAAAUGUUUUUUCUUAUUUAUUUAUAGAAAAUGGUGAUGUUCAGACUAAAUUGGGUUAAUUUUAACAUUUUUCUUGGACAGGGAAUGAUUAUUCUAUGGCUCACAGCGAUGAUUCCACAACUCAAGUCUUCACCGUGCUCUCAGAUCCAACAUGUUUGUAAUGGAGUAACAGCACUCCAACUUGCUGUUCUGUUUUCAUCUUUUGUGUUUAUGUCAAUUGGAGCUGGUUUUGUUAUACCUUGUUCUAUAAUAUUUGGUGCUGAUCAAUUGGAAAAUAAAAAGAACCCUGAGAACGAGAGGAUUCUUGAAAGCUAUUUCAAUUGGUACUAUGCUAGCUCUGGGAUUUCACUUAUUCUUGCAGUUACCGUUAUCGUUUAUAUUCAAGAUAAUUAUGGUUGGAAAGUUGGCUUUGGUGUCCCUGCUAUCCUCAUGUUUUUGUCUGUCUUGAUGUUCCAAAUCGGUUCUCCUCUUUAUAUCAAAGUGAAAGCUAAAACUACAGAAAACUUGGUCAUAGGAUUGUUUCAAGCAGCUGUAGCAGCUUUUAGGAAAAGAAAUACCCGUCGUCCAUUGAGUGAUUGUGAUGAAUUCUAUCGUUGGCCACUUGAAUCAGACGUCUUGCCUCCAUCAAAGGACUUCAGGUCCGUGUCUCCAUCUUUUCACCAAUAUAAUGGCACUUCUAUUGUCAAUAUUAAUUGAAUUUAAGAUUUUAUGAUUUGUUAAUCACAAAACUUUUUCUCCUUUUUUCAGUGAUAUAUGAUAUUGCAGUUCAUCGUAAUUAAGUUUUAUUGUAUGUUAUAGUUGUUUAAAUAGAGCUUGCAUAAUCGAAGAUCCUCAACGAGAUUUGAAUCCUGAUGGAUCAGCUUCAAAUCCAUGGAAUCUCUGUAGUGUGGAACAAGUUGAAUCACUGAAGGCUCUUAUUAAAGCAGUUCCUAUGUGGUCCACCUGUUUCAUGAUCUUUGUGGAUAUAAAUGUCUUUUCAUUUUCCUUGCUUCAAACCAAGACAAUGGAUAGACACAUCUUUCCUCACUUUGAAGUACCAGCAGCAUCAUUCAGUGUGUUUAUGAUUGCUGCUUUAACAAUCUGGAUUGCUUUCUACGACCGUGUUUUGGUCCCUUUGCUAUCAAAAUAUACAGGACAACAAAGAGGGUUAAGUCCUGUCACCCGAAUGGGGAUUGGCUUAAUAUCCUCUGGUAUGUCUAUUGCAUUGUCUGCAAUAACAGAAAGCAUAAGACGACAAAGGGCAAUAGAGGAAGGGCAUGAGGACGACCCAAAUGCUUUAGUGAACAUGUCUGCUAUGUGGUUCGUGCCACAAUAUGCACUACUUGGAGUGGCUGAGGCUACCCAUGCAGUUGGACAGGUUGAGUUUUUCUACGCUUUAUUUCCCAAAAGCAUGUCCAGCAUCGCGUCAUCUAUGUACACUGUUGGGACUGCUGUGUCGAGUUUGAUUGGAAGUAUUCUGGUGAGUGGUGUGGAUUGGCUUUCAUCAACCGGAGGUAAAACAAGCUGGCUUUCGAGCAACAUUAAUCGGGGUCACAUUGAUUACUAUUUCUGGUUGCUUUCUUUCUUGAGUUUUAUCAACUUCUUAUAUUUUCUGGUCGUCUGCCGAUUUUAUGAAUCUCUCAAUGAUGGGAGCAGUAGGUUAUCUCAUGUGGCAGAAGAUAAAGAAUGUGAUUAUAGACUCUUACAUGAAUCUUGAUGUUAUGUUGUACUGCAUUUUGAAUGAUACAAUUAUUACUAAUUAUUUUAUUAUUAAUAAACAAUGUGGGAACAAUUCUAUUAUUUUCUUGAUUCCAAAGUAUUUGAUUGUCAAGAAGAGUCCGGUCACACCUCGAUUUCUUUAAAUCCAUAAAAUUGCUGCAGCGGGGAGUUUAUUUAAUGUAUUUUACUUUUUUUAAAAAAACACAUACUAGUAGCAGCUGUUUUCAAAACUUAUUUAAUGUAUUUUACUUUUUUUUUAAAAAAACACAUACUAGUAGCAGCUUUUUUUAAAACUUAAUUUUAAAGAGUAAUGCUAAAUGACCAGAAAAUUAAAAAGUCUAUAAUAUCUUUUUUAUUUUAAAAUAAAUUGUUCUUUUUUCCAUUUUUUAAUUAAAAGGUAUUAAAAUUAAAAAGGUAAAAAUGUUCAAAAAGAUAAAAUAAAAUAGUGUGAAAUAUAUUAUUUUACCAUUCUGGCUAAAUUUUCUAGCCAAAAGAAUUUUUUCAAUUUUAAAACUAAUAACCUAUAGACAAUUUUGUUUUUUCCUAUAUUGAUUGGAAUAUAAAAAUGGAAGUACAUUGGAAUCAUAAUACUAAUUACAUUGGAAUCAUAAUACUAAUUAAUAAUAUGUAAUGGAAGUACGUUGGAAUCAUAAUACUGCUUCUUCUGUUCCUAAUUACUUGUCCAUUUUUUUUUUUAGUUUUCUUUAAUUACUUGUCCAUUUUUCCUUUUGUAGUUGUACUUAAUUACUUGUCAAUUUUUUAAUCUAUUAUACUCUCAAUUAAUUACAUUGAAAAAGGUAAGACUUCUUGAAAACUUUAAGUUUUUAAGUCAUUCAUUUCAUAAUUAAUAGGGGUAAAAUGAUAAACUCACUAUAUCAAUAAUUGUUUUCUUAAUGUGUGUCAAUUCAAAAGUGGACAAAUAAUUAGGGACAGGGGAGUACUAAUUAAUACUCAUUUGCUACCAACUCUUAAUAAAUCCAAGUGGGAAUUAAUAAUUCCAAAAUUUACAAUUAAUUAAAUUGAUCUAUUUUAAUUUGAAUUUUAAAAUUAAUCAAUUUAAUUCUUGAAAAGCAAACCUGAUCACUUUAUGUGAUAAUUCUUUUUGGAUCCUUAUAAUUGUUUAAAGUUAUGUUUAAUGUAGUUGCAAAGGCAUUUGCUAUUGCCACUGCUCUUGUCUUUGAUGGUUCAGCCUUACAACCGGCCUGCUAUGGGCCCUUUAUGCAUUUUGGAAGAAAAAAAUGGUCUUUUUAACUCGGAAAAUUCAAAUAUAUUAUUUCUUAUUUAGACAUGAACUAUAUAUAGUUUAGAGUAGUAGUUUUCAAGAAUCUCAAAUGAAAUUGCACUCGUCUUAGCUUGAAUAGUCUCAUAAAAUUUUGAUGUCUAUAGAUAUACAGUUCACCAAUUUACAACUACCGUCGUCACUCACCAUUAUUAACUAUCACCAUCUACAUUCAUCAUCAUAACAACUCCCAAUCGCUAAUAAUAAUUGUCAUUAUUAUAUAUCGCCACAAAUCGUAAUUAUUCUCUACGUUCAUUAGCUAUUAUAUAAACCACAUUUACAAUUAUUAGCAUAACAACUUUCAAUCACUAAUGAGAAUAAUAAUAAUUAUUAGUCAUGGUAAAAAAAAUUAUAAUUAUUCUUCACCAAUUACUUCUCCACUCUUACUAUGAGUUAUGCCAUUUUCUCAAUUUCAACAUUAUGUGGUAGGUGGGGGCUACUCUGUGGCUGGCUAGAAAUAAAAAAUGACACGAGCUAAAUGAGUUAUUUCCUUGUGGAUGGGUGACUACAAUUAUUAACUUCAAGUAGUAUAAUAUUUUGCUAUAAAUUUUAGUAUGAUAACAAGUUAUACAUCAUAUUUGAUAUGUUAUUUGUCUACAUAGUAAAUUAUGAUUAUUUCCAUUCUAAUAUAUUAUUUACGUGACUAUAAAUCAUUUCAUUAAAGAUAAAAUUGAUAUUUUAAAGUUAAAUUGUUACGAAAUAUAGAAAACAUAAUAAAUAAAUAUGAAAUUUAACUUGACUUCAGUUGACAUACAUGUCCUCCAACUCUGAGUGUGCACAACUAAACAUUUAAACUUGUAUAAAAUUGAAUAAAUAAACAUAUUCAUCCUACGUGGCUAUUAUAUGUCAUAUGUAAUAUCCUACGUGUAUUAAACUGUUCUUUUUAAAUAUAUAUACAUAUAGGACAAUUCAAUAUUAUUUAUCCAUUUUAAAAUGAACGAAAAAUUAAGUCAGGAAGAUGUUUAUGAUUUGGUCUUAAAUUGAAAUCUCUAUUCGUCAUAAUAAAUCUCGAUCUGGAUUCAACUUCAACUGCUACACUUAAACAUGUCGAUUCCUUUCAUCUUUAAGAUGAUCACACCUAACACCAAUUUUAUAUUAGUCUGUUUAAAAAAAAUGUCAUUUUUUUAUAUCUCUUUAAUUUUAUUUUUUCACGAUAACAUAUUUAAGAUUAUAAAAUUAAAAAAAAAUAUUUACUUUGAUGUGUUGGGUAUAUAGUAAGAAUAAAUGAAAAAUGGAGGAAAGAUGAAAGGACGGAUGAUGAAGUGUUCUCUUAUGCUUUAAUAAAAAACAAUUCUUACUCAUUGGUGGAGGGAAAAAAAGUUUUGUGUUUAAACAAGGAAAUACUUUUAUUAGUCAUUAAAUGGGUUGGAAAGAGGGACUCCUUAUGUCAUCACUUACAAGAUUUUUGCUUUGAAAAAUGAUUGAAAGAUUAUUUUUUUGAUAAGGUUUUCUUUAAUUAUUAAUUUAAUUAAUUAUUAAUUUAUUAAUGAAUGGCAAAUAUCUUUUCCAUUUUAUUUAAAUUUCUCGUCAUUUUCUAAUGAUUGUUUUGAAAGGUUGCAAACUUACAAGAACAACCAUGUCUUAGUGACUAUUCUAGAAGGUUGCAAAUUUUCAGAAACAGUUUUCUUCGCUUUAAAUACUUGUGAUUCCUCGGACUUUUCACUAUGAAAUUUUUUGAACUUCUUCUUCUUUUGCACAAUUAAAUCUACUAUUCUAGUGUACUUUGCUCUCGUUGAAUGGCUCGCUGACACCAUUGUUUUUGUACCAAUACACUGGUGAGUAGAAUCUUUCUAUCAUGGGAGGAUAUAUUCGUUUAAACCUUGGUACUGAAGGAGAAUAAUUUCCUUAAUGACACAUUUUACAUUCAGUGUGCUCGAUAUUAUUUCUUUCUGUUUCAUCUUACUGUUACAGAUUCUGAUAUGUCUUUACAAUCAUUAAUUUAUGUUUUUGAUUAUAUGCUUUAAAUUUAUUCUUAUGCAAAGUUAUUGUUCUAAGUAUUUAUUAGUACAUAUUAGAUAAAAUGAUGUACACUCAAAAAUUAAACCAGAAGUAUAUAUAGACCAUUCAGCUUACUAAAUACAAGAGCAAAUGACAUAAAUGGUCCCUAAACUAUCCUAGUAGGUUUAAAAUAGUCCAUUAAUUAUAUAGUUGACGGAUAUGGUCCUUUAACUAUUCACCUUUUUGUCAAGUUUGAUUUCCAUCCACUUUUUAUAAAAACCGUCAACAAACGUCGUUCAGUACACUCUCUCUCUCAAUUUUCUUUUUCCCUCCUCUUUUCUUCAUUGUGAGACACUAAGUUAAGAAAAUCCUAGAUUCAUUUCAGAUUUGGCCAUUAGUGAAAGCUCAAGACAAUGAUUCUACGACCAGAAGGUGGUAUAGCUCCUCCGUAUGGUAAGUUUUCUAGAGUUCAAGUUUUUAUUUGUGAGAGAUUUUGUUGUAGAAAAGAAAAUAUCAAUUUUUAAAGAAAAUUAUUUUCGUUUAUAGAUUCUAUACACGAUGCCUUAAAAAUCAGCAUGAAAGUAACCCACGGUGGUUUUAUGAAGCACCAGCCUAAAAAACAUUAUUUUGGGGGUCGUGUCCAGUUCAUUGACCAUGUUGAUGUUUCAGAAAUAAAGUUAUCUCAAUUCAAGAAUAUGGCUGAGAUAUGUGGAUAUGAUAAUGAGUCAGUCGCAUUUUGGCACAAAUAUGGUAGACUCGGUGAAAAAUGAGGCUUGUUUCAACUGAUUUUGAAGCUAAUUUAGUAUUCAGAAACAUCCCUCGAGAUAGAGUAAUUGAGGUUUACUUUGAACAUUUAGAUUCCUAUAUUGGAAUGGAUAUCAGCAACAAUGUUGAACAGAAUAGAAAAGAGGGAAGGGCUGAAUAUUCUUCAAGUGAUGAUGAUUUUGAAGACUCGGAUAAUGAUUUGUCAGAUGAAUAUGAUAUUUUAGAAAGGAGUGAAAAUGGGACACGUGAAUAUGAAGUUAGCGAAGCAGUGAGAAAAAAGAUGGCUCAUGAAGAUGGAGAUUCUGAUUGUGUUAACUCUGAAGGGUUCAAGAGCCUAGAAAGUGAUUCUAAUAAGAAUGAUAAGGAAAGGAUACGAGCAGUUUGUGCAAAGCAUCCAGAUUGUGAUUGGGAGAUUAUGGCUUCUAAAAUGUAUAGAGAUUGUGCUUUUCAAGUAAAGACAUACAAUCUGACCCACAAGUGCAAAAAUUGGAACCAUGUUAACAAAACCAUCACAUCUUCGUUCAUUGCUAGAAAAUAUCUUGAUGCCAUAAAAACAAACAGGAAUUGGAAGAUCUCUGAAUUUAGAGAUCAUGUUAGUAUUCAGUUAAGAGCACAUGUGACAUUAUCUAAAUGUAGAAGGGCAAAAAAGAAGGCAAUUGCAAUGAUCGAUGGAGAUAUCUCUGAUCAAUUCAAGCUAUUGUGGAACUAUUGCAAUGAAAUAGUGAGGACAAAUCCAAAUACUUUUGUUUAUAUGAAGUUGAUUGAAAAUGAAGAAUCCUGCAAGCCUAAAGAUUUCAGAGAUUCUACAUAUGUUUUAGUGCUUGCAAGGAAGGAUUCAAUAGUGGUUGUAGAAAGAUAGUAGGAGUGGAUGGUUGUUGGCUCAAGGGUCCGAUGUAUGGGACUCAAUUGUUAACUGCUGUUGGGCUUGAUCCUAAUAACAAUAUCUAUCCGAUAGCAUAUGCAGUUGUGGAGAAAGAAAAUCGUGAGUCAUGGGCAUGGUUUUUGGAUCAUCUAAAGCUUGACUUGGAGAUCGAUGAUGGAGCUCACUGGACCUUCAUGUCAGACAAGCAAAAAGGUCUGAUAGAAGCAUUUAAUGAUAUAUUACCUUUGGUCGCUCAUAGAUUUUGUGUUAGACACUUGCAUAGUAAUUUCAAAAGGGCCGGAUUUUGUGGUGACACACUAAGAAAUGCACUUUGGAAAGCUGCUAGUGCGACAACAGUAAGGUGGUUUGAUGAACGCAUGGUUGAAAUAUUUGAUUUGGAUCCCGAAGCUGCUAUUUGGUUGAGAGAUAAGUCACCUAGUGAAUGGUCUAAAUCUCACUUCUCCGAAGAUGCAAAAUGUGAUACCUUAGUGAAUAACAUAUGUGAAUGUUUUAAUAGCAUGAUAUUAGAUGCAAGAGAUAAGCCUAUUAUCACUCUUUUGGAGAAAAUUCGGUAUAUGCUCAUGACAAGAAUGCAAGCAAAUAGGGAUAAAUCUGUCAAGUGGAGUUCUGAUGAUAUUUGCCCCAAAAUUAAAAAUGUUUUGUGCAAAAGUUAAGCUGCUGCUGCUGAAUAUAUUCCUAGAAAAUCAAAUGAGUGGAACUAUGAGCUUAUAGGAGCUAGCAUAACUGACAUUUGGGCCGUAGAUUUGUUAAACCGAAAAUGCAGUUGUAGAAAAUGGAAUUUGAUAGGGCUUCCUUGUAAACAUGCUAUAUCAGCAAUUUGGGCUAAAAAUGAUGAAAUCAGUUCGUAUAUUGAUGAUUGUUAUAAGGUGGAAACUUAUAGAAGGAUCUAUGAAUUUGCUAUUCUUCCUAUGAAUGGUCAAAAUAUGUGGCCGCAACAUGAGAAUAUUCCUCAUUUGCCUCCCAGAGUAGUAAGACAAAGUACUAAAGGGAGAAAACAAAAGAAGAGAAGAAAAGAAUCAGAUGAAGUGGGCACGAGUAGGACAAAAGCAAAGAGGAAGCAAAAAUAUUUAGGAUGCAGUAGAUGCCACAAGCUUGGACAUAACACAAGAACUUGCAAGUAUAAUUUGUUGCAGACAGAGUCUCAAAAUGUGUCUCCGCUAUAUCAUGAGUCAUCUUCAUCAUGUGCUCCUACAAAACUACCAGUACUUUUUCUUUUAUCUAUAGCAUAUUUCACUUACUUUAUUAUAUUAAAUUUGUGUAAACGCUUCCACUAAUUCAUUAUACUUCACAGGUUAGAAGAGCUGUAGAGAGUCAAGCUAAUUUCAACUCAACAAAGUGACGUGCUCUCGUGAUUGAUGUAGUUUGGCGACAUUUGACUUAUGGUGCAAAUUUACAUUUGAGUGAUAAUUUUAUGUGAUUAGUUGUUUUUUUGUUGUUUUAUGUUAUUUUCUUUACUUGAUCAUUGUAGUGUUUUUGAUGUUGUUUUUGUGCAGCUUAGGGUAGCUUGGUGAUGUUUUUUGGUGCAGUUUGACGCAGUUUUUAUGCUGGUUUUUGUGCAGCUUGGUGCUGAUUUUUGGUGGUUGGGUGCUGCUGUCUGUGCAGCAGUUUGGUGACUUUUUGGAGCUGUUUUUGUGCAGUUUGGUGCUGAUUUUUGGUAGUCUGAUGCAACAGUUUGGUGUUGAUUUUUUGGUAGUCUGAUGCAGCAGUUUGGUGCUGAUUUUUUGGUGGUUUGAUGCUGCUGUCUAGUGAUGUGUUAUGUAUAGUUUGGUGCUGAUUNNNNNNNNNNNNNNNNNNNNNNNNNNNNNNNNNNNNNNNNNNNNNNNNNNNNNNNNNNNNNNNNNNNNNNNNNNNNNNNNNNNNNNNNNNNNNNNNNNNNNNNNNNNNNNNNNNNNNNNNNNNNNNNNNNNNNNNNNNNNNNNNNNNNNNNNNNNNNNNNNNNNNNNNNNNNNNNNNNNNNNNNNNNNNNNNNNNNNNNNNNNNNNNNNNNNNNNNNNNNNNNNNNNNNNNNNNNNNNNNNNNNNNNNNNNNNNNNNNNUUGAUGUAAUGACCAAUUAUUAACAUGAAAAUAGAAUCGUAUUUUUUCUCACAAUAUUUUGUCAAUUGUGUUCGCUACUUUGCAUUUUGAUUUAACUCGCAUGAAAUAACGACCAACGACUUAAUUGCAAUAAGACAAUAAAGAAAAGAAUUGAAAAAAAAAGUGAGAAAAUGGACAAAAUAAAUGACAAAAAAGAAAGUCAAUGGAGAUGAAUUGGAAAAAAGAAAGUGAGGAAACAAUGAGAUAAUGAAGAAAAAGAGGUGGAAAAAGAAAGAAGACAGAUUGACUUAACAGAUGUUAAGUAACAGUUUUUUAAAAAAGUGGAUGGAAACCAAACUUGACAAAAAGGUGGAUAGUUAAAGGACCAUAUCCGUAAACUAUAUAGUUAAGGGACUAUUUUAGACCUACUAGGAUAGUUUAGGGACCAUUUAUGUCAUUUGCUCCUAAAUACAACAUCGAAUUUAAGGCAAGGAACAGUCCCAUCUCAAUGAUUAUGUAUUUAACAUGUCAAAUUCAAAUCAUAACUUUUUACAUAUCAACGAUUGAUAGAGACUUCUAAUUCUUUUUAAAAAUGAGUGGAAUCUUGUUGGGGGCCAUUACUAAUGUUUCUUACUUGGGUCGGUAUAAGGUUGUUGCCUAUGGAUCCAUGUCCACUUUUAUUGGUAGUUGUGCCAUCUUCAACAUGUUUCUUGUUUUCCUUUUACUCGUUUGUUCUUAAUUACUUGUUCUUUUUUUUUUACUUGUCUCUUUUUACUUGUUCAUUUCGAUAAAUCAAGAAAUGACAUUUUUUUUACUAUUAUAUCUUCAAUUAAUUAGGCUCUUAUUCUAUUUAUUCUAUUGGAUCUAUAUGUCGGGUAGGUAAUCGACACAGAAGUCUCAUUGUUCGUGGUAUUGCAAUGAAUUCAUUAUAUAAUAAUUGAAAAAGGUAGAACUUCUUAAAAAAUCUUAAGAUUUUAAUUCAUGCAUAUCAUAAUUAAUAGGAUAAAACGGUAAACUCAUUACUUGUAGAUUGGAUGCCAACAAACAAUAUCAAAUAUUAUAGCAUACCAAAUUUAUAAAAAAAAUACCUAGUUUUACGGGUUUGUGUGCCCUAUAAAUGAAUUCAUGUCAUAGAAUUAAAAAUUAUAUUCCUCACUAGCAUGUGACUGUGCCAAUUCUGUUCUGCUAAUAAUCCCGUCAUACCAAUUGGAGGAGACCUUGCAAAUUGAUUUUGUUUUUCACUAUACUUAAAAGAAGCUUUACCUUUACUUUUUCCGUUUCAAAAUAAAUGGUAUUUUCUAAUUUUUCUAUUUUAUUUCAAAGGUGUUUCAAGAAGACAUAAACAAUGGUUGAAUAGAGCUUGCAUGAAUGAAGAUCCUCAAAGAGAUAUAAAUCCUGAUGAAACUACUUUAAUAAAAUUUUAAUGUUAUUAAGAUAUUUAUUCAAACGAUACUACAAAGAUGUCAAUUCAUCAAUUUCAUCCAAUCACAAUUAUCAUCACUUACCAUUACCAACUGUUAUUGUUAUUAUUAUUAUUAUUAUUAUUAUUAUUAUUAUUAUUAUUAUUAUUAUUAUUAUUAUUAUUAUUAUUAUUAUUAUUAUUAUUAUUAUUAUUAUGUCAUAUCAACCAUUACUGCCCACGACCCAAAUUAUCAUUCCACCACUACCAUCAUUAAGCAAUUAGAACAGACUAAACAAAAUUAGGGUCUAAAACAAAACUUUGAGAGAGGCCCUAAAAUUGGGAGACAUUUCCUCCAUGUAUGUCAAGUUAAUUGGGACUUACUAAUAAAUAAAGAUAUACUUAUUUAUAUUUGUUGAGUGCACCCGCCAACAACGUAUAUAUUCAGCGAAAUCAACUCAGCAUCAAACUAAUGAGAGAAGUAUUGAAAAUACCUCUCAACUUGACGUAAAUUAUUAGUUUAGUCUUUAAAUUAUUGACAACUUUAAAAACACUCAUCUACUUGACUAACUAAACUUAGAUAUACUCCGAUCUGCCACAUGACAUGACAAGUGAUCUCAAUCUUUUGUAGGAGUAUGGGGCUCUUAAUAAAAAGUCGAGAGAAGUAUUUUCUUCUAAACUUGACGAGAAUUUAGAGACAUAGUUCACUCAUGUUGCAGUAUAGGAAGUGAAGAGGAAAAACAGAGAGAGAGAGUGAAAAUGGGGACAGAAAUUAGACAAGAAGAAGAGAAGCCAAGAAAGGGUGGUCUUAGAACUAUGCCUUUCAUCAUUAAUAAUUCCUCAUUUUUUGUUCUUUAAAUUGUUUGCAUGUGUUAAGUACUAAAUAAUUUUUUUUUAAUGUUUUUGUUCCAGUGAAUGAAUCAUUUGAGAUGAUAGCAAGUUAUGGUUUACAAACAAAUAUGCUAAUUUAUUUGAUGACAUUUUAUAACAUGAGCGCUGCCACUGCUACUACCAUUCUUGAACUAUGGGCUGCACUUUCAAAUGGAUUGGCAAUUGUUGGGGCCAUUAUUGCUAAUUCUUACUUGGGUCAGUUUAGAGCUGUUGCAUUUGGAUCCAUUUCAACUCUUAUUGUGAGUUUGUGACAUUUUCAACAAGAAAAUACUAAUUGCUGAUAUUUUAAAUUUGUAUAAAGUUGAACAAAUAGACAUUUGAUCACUUUAUAUAAAGUUGAACAAAUAGACGAUUGUCACGACCCGAGCCUAUACCCCGAAAGUGACACGGCGUACAAGACUCCAAAAAGUCUCAUACAAGCCUCAUAGCGUUCAUAACAUUCGAUAUAAGGAAAAUGGUACAGAAUUAAAACUUUUCUUUAAAUCCAUACAAUACAAAAACAUUUAAAACAGCGGAAGUGUAUUGUCUCAAAUGGCCAUCUGAACAAUAUCUUGAAACAAAAUGAGGGUCACAACCCUUUACAAUCGAAAGUCUAACAAUAGUCUUUAACAUGAAAGAAAAUGAAACAUCAAGUACUUGUCCUCGAUCUAUGAGGACAUACCACUUAGUCUUGGAGAAUCUCAAAUUCAAGCCCUUGAACUAGAGAGAAAGCAACUCACUUGCCGGAACCUACACUUGUAGUAAAAUAAGAGAAAUAUGGGUUAGCACAAUUAAGUACUAAGUAUGAUAGCCAUGCAAAAUCCAUGCUUAAAAUGGACAUUUUGUUUGAAAGUCAUGCUUUUAUGUCAUUUUGAUAAAACUUCAUGUACAUGAGUAUAAGAGGCAUAAUAUACAAACACAACCAACAAACAAGUCAUUUCUCACAUUUGAACAUAAUCAACAUACAUGACAUUUCAUUACAUUAAGCUUUCACCUCAAAUAACCCGAAUCCAUACCUUGUGCAAUGUAUGAAUAGCGUCCCAUACCACCAUCCACACUAGAUACCACAUUAAGGCAACCAAAAGUGAACUUACCAUUCAUCCUUUCCAUUUUUACACAAUACUCAUACAUAAGAGACAUAACCAUUUCAUAAGUCAUAACAAGGAAAUAACUCAUAAUACAAUCCAAGUAUAGCAUGCAUCAUUACAUUAGACAUUUAAGUCAACAUUCUUUAUUAGCUUCAUUUAGAGCACUUUCAUUCAUUAGUCAUUAAGACCUUAGAGAACUCACUAUAGCCCUCUCAAAGCCUACUUGUGCAAUGCAUGGAUGACAUCCCAUACUACCGCCCACACAUCAUAGAACUUCUUAAGAAACCAUAGUGCACAUCUCACAUGAUGGGAAUAAGCAUUAACCGACAUAGACCAUGAGAGCUAACCAUGGAGUCCGGUGUCAUAUAGCCCUACACCGUAAAGAAGUGGUCUACUUGCCAAAGUUAGGACCGAUAACAUUUUAGCUUGGAUGGAAUCCACUAACUAAUAUCCUAUGUGGACACAUAGUUAUGGGAUAUGAAGAUGCUCAUUGGAACCCGGCCUAACAUGGGGAGAGUUUCCAUCUUACCAUAUCCUAUCGGUGCUUAGCCUCCAUUCCUAUAGAGUAGUUCAUUCACAUUAACAUUAUUGUACUUGAGAGGGCUACCAAUAUUAGGUCUACCAACCCAAAGUACAUUACACAUGAAAGGGUCACCACCGUUAGGUCUACCGAUUCAAGGUACAUUAGGGAUAACUCAUUGAAUUUUCAAGAAGGGUGCCAUCAACAUUAGGUCUACCGAUACAAGGUUCAUCAUUUCACACAUGAAAGGGCCACCAACACUAGGUAUACCGAUUCAAGGUUUAUCAUCAACAUUCAUGGAAGGGUGCCAUAAGCCUACCGAUCCCAAAGUUCAUUAAUGUUAUCUAUGAAAGGGUGCCAUAAACCUACCAAUCCAAGAUACAUCAUUAGGAUAGGUCAUAGAACUCAUCAUGCAAGGGCUACCAACAUUGGUCUACCGAUUCAUGUUCAUUAAGUCAAAAUAAGUUCAUUAGUCAAGAAGAGGAUGCCUAAGCCUACCAAUUCAAUAUAUAACAUUCAAGGUCACAUUCAUCAAUACAAGAAAAAGAUGCCUUAAGCCUACUAAUUCAAGAUACAUCAAUCCACAUUACUUUCAUUUAUACAAGAAAAGGUUGCCUAAGCCUACCAAUUCAAGAUAUACAUCACAUAGAAGAAAACCCUUCACAUUCUAUCAUCAUCAUUCAUGAGUGUUAAUUGAGAAUAUGCUAUCAACAACAACACUAUUACAUUCUAAUCAUGAUAAUCAUAUUAUCAUUGAAUUCACUUGCAAAUCCUUCACAUCAUAAUCAUGCAAUAACCUUCAUACCUUACUUUUCAAGGCCAAGGAUCACAUUCACCCACACACCUUAAAAUACUACAAUUAGGCAUGAGUAAUAAUAUAAUUUCAACAAUCAAUAUAAACAUAAACAAUUCAACAUACUUUCAUGAUCAAUCAAUUCCCAAUCACAAAUCACAACUUAAGAAUUUAGGGAAAAACAUGGGUUCAAGGGGAAAAUCAUCUUAAUUGGCCAUUCAAUCAUCAAUUAAUCCAUGAUUCACAACAUAAAUGCCUUUUGAAAUCAUUUGGAAUGGAACCCAUGUAUAGAUUGAAAACUUAGGAUUUUUGGGGAACUUUGGAGAUUUGGAGAUUUGAAAUCACUUUUGAAAUUGGCUCCUUGAAAGAAACUAAGUCAAGGAUGAAGACUACCAUACCUUCUAUGGAAGAAAUCCAUGAAAAUCACUUGAAAAAUAUGAAGACUUGACCUUGAGAUCUUGAAUCCUUCACCUCAAAUGGAGGUUUCUAGAGAGAGAACUUUUGAGAGGAGAUGGGAGGUUUGUUGGAGGUUUCUAGAGAGAGAACUUUUGAGAGGAGAGGGGAGGUUUAGUUUGUAUUUUUGGGUUUUGAAAUAAUGAGUUGUAAAUGUGUUUUAAUACUUUAAAAACCCUUAAAAUAUCUUAAUAAACCCAUAAUAACCGUCCCCCAACUAAAAUAACUUAAUUAGGAAUUUACCAUACCACCCCUCAACUUGGUCGAAAAUGGACAGCAAGCAGGUGUGACCUACGACCUCUUACCUAUGGACCAUAGGUGGGGUGACACCCCAUCUUGCUGGUCUGUGGUUUGGUUCUGGGGAUCACCCUUUGGGGCCUUGACCUAUGGAGGCCAUCCACGGGGCGUGGAUGGACCUACGGGACGUAGGUCCCCAUCCGUAAGUCAUCCCAAAUUUCUAGCUUUUUGGUUUUCUUGGGGUCUUGGGGUUUAGGCUUAGGGUCCUCCUCAAGGACCCGUUGGGUGGUCCUUGGGGAGUCGUACCUUGAAGUUUAACCGCUAAACCCUUCAACCUAAGCUCGGGACAACAUUCUACCACAUGAAACCCCACAACAACUCAAACACACAAUAGUUAGGCUCUAGUUUCACCUAGUUGUUUUACGGGUCGUUACAACGGUGGAUUCCAAGAACAUGCGACUGGUGUUGUUUAAACAAAUGCUCAAUAGACAAAGCUUGAAGCACUGAAGUUGAAAGAUUUAAAGGCAAAAAAUUAUAUUUUUCAAGCCAUUGAUCGUUCAGUAUUGGAAACAAUUCUUUGCAAGGAUACGUCAAAGCAAAUUUGAGACCUCAUGAAGAAGAAGUACCAGGGAAAUGCAAGGGCAAAGCAAGCACAACUUCAAACUCUACGAGGUGAGUUUGAGAACUUGAGUAUGAAGCAGGGUAUGAAGCCAGGAGAGUCGGUGCCAAUGUACUUCUCACGCACUAUGACAAUUGCCAAAAAGAUGCGGAUUCAAUGAGAGAGAGUCUUGAAGACGUCAUCAUUGUUGAGAAGAUCGUGCGGUCCAUGUUGCCAAAAUUCAAUUUUGGUAUCUACUCCAUUGAAGAGUCAAAAGUUUUGGACACUCUUUCACUUGAUGAACUACAAAUUUCUUUAAUGAUUCAUGAGUAGAAGAUUGUUAAACAUGAUGUAGAAGAGCAAAAAUUACAAGUAACCACAACCUCCAAUGAUUAUGAGCGUAGAAGGAGCAAGUGGAAUGAAAGAAACUCAUAGAGAACUGAAAAGGGAAAUCACCAAAAGAAUGGUCACCAUAAUCGUGAUCAAUGACACUCCUCCAAUGGGAAGUCAAGGUUUGCAGAUAAGUCUCAUAUCGAGUGUUAUAGAUGUCACAGGUAUGGUCGUUGCCAUUCUAAAUGUCGUACAAAUCUAAAAAAUGUACAUGAAGAGAACUCAAAUUUUGCAGACAUAACUAAGGAUAAAGAGGUCUCUUUGUUAAUGGUGAGCCAAUCCUUGGAAGAAUGCCACAAAAGUGUAUGGUAUUUAGAUAUGGGCUGUAACAACCAUUUGUCUAGAAAAAAAAUGUAUUUUAUGGGCUAGAUGAAACUUUUCGCACAACAAUCAAGUUUGGAGAUAAUUUCUGCAUUGCUGUCAAAGAGAAAUGGAAGGUGAAACUCCAAAUAAAGUCUUCAUCUAUGCAGAUUAUCUCUGAUGUUUCUUUGCGCCAAAUCUUAUCAGUGUGGGUCAGCUUCAAGAGACCAGAUACGAGGUGUCUAUCAAGCAUGGAAUUUGCAGAAUCCAAAAUUCUAAUCUUGGAUUAAUUGUUAAAGCUAAAGAUGACUGCAAAUAAGUUUUUCCCACUUGAUAUGCAAAAUAUUGGCACUACCAAUUUUUGUUUUUAAACAAAGUUGAAUAGUCAAGCAUGGCUCUGGCACUAUAGAUAUGGGCAUUUGAAUUUUGGAGGACUGAAAAUGUUGCAACAAAAGAAGAUGAUUAUAGAUCUUCCUAAUUUUUAUAUUCCUACAGAUAUUUGUGAAGAUCAUGUCAUUGAAAAGCAAUCUCGCGAUAACUUUCCAAAAGAAAAAACAUGGAGAGCUAAAAGACAACUAGAGUUGGUUCAUUCAGAUAUUUGUGGACCAUUAAAUCCAAUAUUCAAUCGAGGAAAACAUUAUUUUAUAACGUUUACUGAUGAUUAUAGCUGAAAGACAUAUGUUUAUUUUCUGUAAAAAAAAUAAAUAAUCUAAAGCUUUUAUCAGUUUCAAAAGCUUCAAAGCUCUUGUUGAGAAGGAGACAGGAUGUUCCAUAAAGAUUCUUGGUACUGAUCGUGGAUGGGAGUAUCUUUCACAAGGAUUUAUAUUUUUGUUUUUAGUUUCAUAGGAUACAACGGCAACUUACAACAGCUUAUACUCCUCAACAAAAUAGAGCAUGUGAGAGAAAGAAUCAGUAAAUCAAGAACGUUAUGCGGAGCCUUUUACGAAAGAACCAUGUUCCAAAAGUUAUUUGGCCUGAAGCAGUUUGCUGGAGCGUCUUUGUUUUGAAUAGAAGUCCUUCUCGUGCUAUUCAGAACAUGACACCCGAAGAAGCUUGGAGUGGACAACAAAUAGUUGUUCAACACUUAAGAGUGUUUGAAUGUAUUGCAUUUGCUCAUGUUCCGGAUCAGAAAAGGACAUAGAUCAAUGAUAAAGAAAAUAAGUGAGUUUUCAUGGGUGUUAGCAUGGAGUCAAGAACUUACAAGUUGUAUAAUCAUAUCAGCAAGAUGGUGAUUAUUAAUUGUGAUGUAGUGUUUGAUGAAGAUAAUUUCUGAUCAUGGGAAGAAACGCCAAACAACCAACAACUUCCUUUGGAUCUUGACGAUGGAUACAAAGAGCAAGAGCAACCAGUAGCUGAUGAAGGUGCUUCUACCUUGGUACAUCAAUAAUGCACUAGCUUCUGACCUCAACAAAAUUGAAGAAGACCAACAUAGAUGGUAGAUUAUGAGGUGAGUGGAAAUGAUCAAUCUGGAAAUGAAGAUUCAUCUACUUAUUUAACUUUAUUUUCUGGUUUUGAUCCCGUAAGAUUUGAGGAUGCCUAUAAAGAUGUAAAGUGGUAGAAAACAAUGGAUGCUGAGAUUGCCGCAAUUGAAAAGAACAAUACUUGGGAGCUUACUGAUCUUCCAAAAAGCCAAAGGUCGAUUGGAGUUAAAUUGAUUUAUAAAACCAAACUCAAUGAGUCUGGUGAAGUUGAUAAGUACAAGGCGUGCUUGGUGGUGAAAGGAUACAAGCAAGAGUAUGGUGUGGAUUACAAGGAGGUCUUUGCUCUUAAAGUCAGACUUGAUACCAUCCGAAUUGUGUUGGCAUUGGCAGCUCAAAACAAUUGGCCGAUUUAUCAACUUGAUGUAAAAUCAGCCUUUUUGCACGGAGAGUUGCAAGAGCAGGUAUAUUUUGAUCAACCUCUUGGUUAAGUGAUGCAUGAAAGUGAGCAUAAAGUUUAUAGAUUGAAUAAAGGUUUUAUAUGGGCUAAAACAAAAUCUCCGAGCUUGGUAUAAUCGCAUUGAUGCAUAUUUUAAUCUAUGGGAUGUUGUUCAUGGGAGUAACACAAGUCCUUCAGCUGACAGAUCAGAAAAUAGCAGUGCGUACAAGAAGUGGAAGCAGAUUAAUGUGAAGGCAGAGUUCAUUCUGAAAAAGACAAUCUUCUCCAAUUUAUUCGAUCAUAUUAUAAAGUGUAAAUCAGCUCAUGAAAUAUGGAGGAACCUCGAUCAUUUGUUCAAUAAUAAGAAUGAAGCUCGGCUGUAGAUGUUGGAGAAUGAAUUGGCUAACACCACUCAAAGUAAUCUUUCUAUCGUCGAGUAUUUUUGAAGAUUAAGAACUUAUGUUCUGAGAUAUCUUUGUUGAAUCAGGAAGAGGCUAUCACUAAAGCACGAAUGAGAAGAACUAUCAUUCGUAGUUUGAAAUCUGAAUAUAUUUUAUUUGUGACGUCGAUUCAAGGACGGGCUCAACAAUUAUCUUUGGAGGAGUUUGAAAAUUUGUUGUCGUCACAGGAAUUCCUAGCCAAGCAGUUGGCUAGUGUAUUUAUCAAAUAUGGAGAAGGAGAUGCUCUUUACUCCACAAGAGAAACUUCAAAGGAAAAUCAAGAGAUAUGUCACACUCUCGAUCCUCAGAUGCUUCAAGCUCGCUUAGAAAGAAGGAAAAAUCUUCUAACUAUUCUGGUAAGAAGCCUCUCAGAUGUUAUCGUUGUGGAGAAGUAGGACACACAAAAAGAUAUUGCCGAGCCAAGGAGAGCAAUAUGGAUCAAAAAGUUGCCGAAGAAGAAGAAGAGUGGGGAAAAUGUUUAGUAGCUGAGGCUCGAGCAAUAGAUGUCAUGAUUUCCAUCAAUCUUGAAAAAGACUGGAUCAAGGAUCCAGAAUAUAAUAUAGCCAAUCAUGUGGAGAAGCAAGAACUGAUUUUGUAGUCAUGAAACAAGAAUUUUUUUAGGAUGUUCCAAUUGGUGAUAUGGUAGCUGCUAUUGAAGAAAUCAAAGAAGAAAAUCUUGAACAUGCAAUAUCUGAAACUACAUGUGCUAGUGGUGACCUUUACAAAGAAAGCAUUGAGAGAGAUGUUUUGGAAGUAAAAGUAUAUGAUCAAUCAUCUGUAAUAUCAAGGUCAAUUAAUGACUCAGAGCAAAUUAUGAAGGCAGAUGGAGAAAGUAGAGAUCAAAUAGAGGAAGAAGCUGAUAUUGAAGUCUCUGAGACAAAGGUAUGAUUUUUGAAAGUUUUGAAGCUGCCAAAAAAUCUAUCGAGGAGAUGAUAAGAUAAUAUAGCAGUGGAUCAUAUGUUGGUGUUGAGACUUCACUGGAAAUUGAAAGUGUUUCUAUGAUAAUAUAAUUAUCGAGAAACUAAGAGAAAGGGGGAGUUCAGGAAAUCUCAAGGAGAUAAUUUACAUGGAUCAUUCGAUAACAAAAAAUCUUUAUUAUUUGAAGAAGCAAGAGGAGUCCAGAACAAACUGCCGAGAUUUUCCCCAAGAUGUGGCUCAAAGCUUUGUUUGAGCUCCUCCACGACAAGUGUGGGGUAGUUUCCAAAAAAAAACAAACACUUUAAGGGGGAGUGUGAAAAAUUAAUGUUGAUUUUGUGGAGGUACAAAAAAAUAUCUUAGAUAUUUAGUUGAACUUUCUAGAAUUUUGUAGGGUAAAUAUCUUUGAUAUUUAUAUUUAAGAAAAAAUCUAGAUGUUCUAGAUAAUUAGAUAUUUAUAGUAAAGUAUAGAAAUAUCUAGAUUCUUGUUAUAUAGUCAGAAGGUAAGAAUAUCUAGAUAUUUCUUGUAGAUGUAUCUAGAAUAAUUUCUAGAAGCAUUCCUAUACAAAUAUAAAUAAGGGUGACAUUAGGCAUUAGUAAUUAACCCAACCUAAGAACAACUCAAAUCAAAUAGUCUUCUUCCAUGCCCAUUUUUUUUAAUCCUAAAUACACAUCCUCCAUUCUAGCUUCCUCUUUUUUAGUUGAAUCUUCCGAUCUUAGCUAACGAUUUUGGGCUAGCAGACGUAUUCUUCGAUUAUAUUUUUCUUCUGUUAUUCUCUACACUAUGAACUACUCUUUUCGUUUUAAUUUAUCUAUCUUUCGUCAUAUAUUAAAGGAAAGAGCAAUGUGAAGAGGAAAAACAGAGAGACAAAGUGAAAAUGAGGACAAAAAUUAGACAAGUAGAAGAGAAGCCAAGAAAGGGUGGUCUUAGAACUAUGCCUUUCAUCAUUGGUAAUUCUUUCUUUUUUUUUUGUUUAAAUUGUUUGCAUGGUACUAAUUAAUUAUUUUUUUAUGUUUUUGUACUAGUGAAUGAAUCAUUUGAGAUGAUAGCAACAUAUGGUUUACAAACAAAUAUGCUAAUUUAUUUGAUGACAUUUUAUAACAUGAGUGCUGCCACUGCUACUAGUAUUCUUGGACUAUGGGCUGCACUUUCAAAUGGAUUGGCUAUUGUUGGUGCAAUUGUUGCUGAUUCUUACUGCGGUCGGUUUAGAGCUGUUGCCUUUGGAUCCAUCUCAACUCUUAUUGUGAGUAAUUUGUCACAUUUUCACAAUUUCAACUAAUUGCUGAUAUUUUAAAUUUAUAUAAAGUUGAACAAAUAGACAUUUGAUCCCUUCUUCGACAGGGAAUGAUUGUUCUUUGGCUCACAACUAUGAUUCCACAACUCACGUCUGUAUCCUGCUCUCACUUCCAACAUGUUUGUAAUGGAACAACAACAAUCCAACUUGCUGUUCUGUUUUCGUCUUUUGGGUUUAUGUCAAUUGGAGCUGGUUUUGUUAGACCUUGUUCUAUAAUAUUUGGUGCUGAUCAAUUGGAAAAUAAAAAGAACCCCGACAACCAGAGGCGUAUUGCUAGCUAUUUCAACUGGUACUAUGUUAGCUCGGGAAUUUCAACUAUGCUUGCAGUUACUGUAAUUAUU
RNAcentral lists this long non-coding RNA (51644 nucleotides) under Solanum tuberosum (potato). RNAcentral's name for it is "long non-coding RNA (STUB_LNC005423)". The record is from RNAcentral. Lineage: Eukaryota; Viridiplantae; Streptophyta; Magnoliopsida; Solanales; Solanaceae.